AUUUCAAGUCUGGAUUAACAUCACCAUCACCAUCCAUUGGAGUUAAACCAUCUGGUAGAGUCUCAAAGUUAAAAUCAGUGAAACCAUCAAAGGCAUUUUCACCUCUUGAUUUGAGCAAGCGUUUGUGAUUGUAUUCGGUGUUAACAAAGGUUAUGUGAAAGCCUCGAAGGUGAAGAAGCUUAGCUAGUUUGAACAAUGGAUUGAUAUGGCCUUGAGUUGGAUAUGGAAUCAACACAGCAUGUGGUUUUCUCUUUGCAAAAUUACUCAUCUUUGAUCAGUCUAUGAUAUGUCAUAAAACUAUACAAAAGAUAAAACAGGUUACGUAAUGUUACAUAUUUUGGUUUUUGUAUGUUUUGCAACAAGUAACACGAGGAACAUUUUUUUAUAAUUAAAAUAAUGGAGCGGCAAAUAGUACGCCUCUUCUAUCCGUAUAGAUAAAUCAAUAGCAAGUGGUCCACAUUUAUUAAUACAUGUCUCUUUGUCUGAAUAUGUUUUCAAAUGAAUCAUAGUUUCAAAUGAAUCAUCAAUAUCAUUCUAGUCCUUGCAAAUAUCACCUAAGCGCCAUGUAAAUUUUCCAAAAAUGCCCUUGUGUAUUCCGGAUUUUAAAAUCCGGAUUCAUGUUUACUAUUUCGAAUUUUAUAAUCCGGACAAUUCUUAUGUAUAAUCAGCCAUCAGACUCUCACAUUUCAGCAAUUUUGAGUUUUGUUUUUAAAAACAACAAAAAAACUAAGUAAAAAAAAUGCUAAAAGCCUGUCAAAUAAAAUCAUAAAAAUAGAAACAUAAAAUUCUAAAAAUCAAAUAAAACUAAUGCAAAUUUUUCCGAAUUUUUCUGAGAAUAUGAAAAAUUAAAAAAAAUGAAAAAUGGGUCUAAACGAUGGAAUUUUGGAUUUUGAGGGGCGGAGUCCCUUAAGAAGUCUCUUCUGUGGGAGUCAUGGUCCUUGAAUUGUUUCUGAUUUUCUGCGGAAGUUUCGGAGCAAUCCAAUCAAGUAGCCCGAAAACCCGAUUUUUGACUAAGAACAUGUAACAAUGACCCAAAACAGAAGGAUGAAAGUUAGGAAGAUUAAUAUUGUCCCUAAAAUGACUAUCCAUAUUACAAACAUGUUUAGAAUUUGUGCUGAUACAGUUCAGAUUAUAUAAUCCGAACUGUUUUACCUUGAAAAAAGUUGUUUAGGGGAUUUCCGGAUUAUAUAAUCCGGAAACAUCAUGUAACACGCCCUAAUUUUUGAAAUUUCUGGAUUAUAAAAUCCGGAAAAAUCCGUUACUCAUUUUUUCACCCUCUAACAAAAGAAAACACCAUUCUGGAUUAUAAAAUCCGGAAACUUAAGGACAUUUUUGGAAAAAUAGGGCGCGCGAGGAAACCCACAGGGUGGGAAAAGUAACUCCCUAAAAUCUUACAACUUCAUAUUUUUAGGCCCCUUAAAUUAAAGCCCAAAAUAUUAAGAUCCAAGUCCAACGAGAUUUUAGGAUCCAUCAGCAGCCACUUUCUUGCAUGAAAUGUGCAUGGCUUCUUACAUGAGAUUGCACAUGGCACUUUGAGUGAAAUUACACUUGGAUGAUUGCAUGAAUAACACAUGUCCUUGUUGCGUGUAGCUCUCUUGCCGCAUGACUUAAUGCAUGUAACUCUCUUGCCACUAGGCUUAAUGCAUAUAAUUCUUCAUUUUCAUUCUCCUAUAGAUAAGAGUUUCUAAUGUAACUUCAUCAUUCAAGUUUUAUAAAGUGAGUGUUCAUCAAAACCGACCAUCUAUUUGUUCUUGUCCGGUUGUUGUAAACCAUUUUUUCAAAGAUUAAUGAUAUUUGUAGACAACUCUCAUUUUUUCUCUUCUUAUUGGUCAAAAUAAUAGAGAGAGACGGCAAAAAGUUAAGAAGAUAAUGUGAAAAUGAAAGAGAUAGUUGCUUUAAAGUUAUACAAAAAUAAUUGUAUAAAUAUGAUUUCUCUUUUUCAAAUUAAUUGGUUUUGAAAAAAAAUACAAAAAUGUCCUACAUUGAAACAUGAAUACCAAAAUAACUUGUUGUAGAUUGUUUCCUUCGUCAUGGCAGUGAGGUUACCAUGAAGAAUUUGUAAACAGUUUGAAGGCGAAGGAGUUUAUAAAAACGUGAAACCGAAAAAUCACAAGAUGGAAGAGGAAAGGAGAUGCAACAGUCAUUGUGUAAAUGGUGAAACACUGAAAGGUUAAUGACAAAUGCAAUAAAAAAUAAUGUUUUAAUAUUGGCAAAUUCUAUGGUACACCUAAUAUAUUUGAGUGUACCGGUACACCCACUCUUUAAAUUAAUAGUUAAAUAAGUUAUUUUUUGAAGAAAAAUAUUAUUUUUUAUCAUUUAUAAUUAUAAUAACUAAAUCUUAUUCAUAAAAAAUGUCAACAAAAUAAAAUUACUAUUUUUUGAAUUUUUAUCACUCAUAAUCGAGAACAUUCAUUAUUUUUUAUGAUAAUAUGUAAAAAUAAUUACUAUAAUUCUUAUAAACAAUGAAAUGAUGUUUUUUCUUAUGAAAUAAUGUUCUAUAAAAUAUAAAUAUUGAAAAUAGCUAUUUAUUACAUAAAAAAUAUCGUUAAUUUAUAAAAUUAUGAAGCAGGAGUACCGGUACACCUCACUUUGUGAGUGUACCGUAGAAGUUCCCUUUAAUAUUUAGUAUUUUUAAAAAAUUCAACAGAUGACAGAAAAAUAUCAGUUAUUUCUUGUCAAAAAAAAAAUAUCAGUUAUUAAAUUUUGACAGCUUAUACAACGAUUAUAUAACGUACACUUUGCAAAAUAGACAACACUUUUUUUUAAGCAACUUUUAUAUAAUCAUUGUUGAUAUAUACAUUUGAAAAAAAAAAAAAAGGAACCUAUCUUCGUCAUUUGGAAUGGCGACGCUCUUCCAAUCAUUUCCUAAUCCUCGCUAAUCCAAAUUGCAAGGUCCAGCUAGUUUCCAAAAAGUAAAAGAUUUUGGUAUUUAGUUCUUAAUGUAGGGCAUUUUUGUAAUUUUUUAGGGUUAAAUAUGUUUUUAGUCCUUACAUUUUACGCCUAUUUGAAGAAUAGUCCCUACAUUUCAUUAAAUGUUUUUAAAAUCCUCCAUAUUUUAUCUCGGUUAUCAAAAUUAGCUGCCGUUAAUUCUCGUAAAGAUCAUAUUUUGAGAGAGAGAAAACAUAUAAUAUUUUUGCUCAAGAAAGAUCAAAUGCCAAGAAAGUUGCUUACCGACGAUAAGUAUAGUACAUAUUUGACUAUAUGAGGUCAGUGUACAAGUAUCAUACAAUAUGAUUGAAUCCAUUUAGAUUGGUCCGGUGACGUUGGUUUAGGACCUUCAAUUAUGCUCUCUAUAGGUUAUUGUGUUCGAUUUUCCCUAUCGUCAAUUUCGGUGAAUUAAUUUAGUUUCUUAAAAAAACAUAAAGUGGAAGUGAUUAGAAAGACACAUAAUUUAUUAUUAAUAUUGUAAUGUAUUCUUGAAAUGUAUGAGGCAGCCUCUGGACAAGUUAUUAGCCUUCCAAAGUCUGAAGUUUAUUAUAGUAGAAGUCUUCCGAUCCCUACACAAGAGUCCAUCACGGCAAUCCUUGGUGUUGGUGCCGUUAUGGGAACUUGGAAGUAUCUGCCUUCCAUGAUUGGCCGAAGCAAAGAAGCCACCUUCGGCUUUAUUAAAGACUGUGUUUGGCAUAAAAUCAAUUUUUGGAGUAGCAAAUGUCUUUCCAAAGUAGGCAGAGAAGUUCUUAUUAAAUCGGUACUCCAAUCCAUUCCUUCUUAUGUUAUGAGUAUUUAUUUGUUGCCAAACAGAUUAGUCGAUGCUAUAGAAAAAUGAUUAAUGCAUUUUGGUGGGGAAAUGGCGGUUCUACUAGAUGAAGUUUGCAUUGACUUUCUUGGGAAAGGUUAUCUGUUCAUAAAAAUUAUGGUGGAAUGAGAUUUAAAGAUCUUACGUCCUUUAAUGUAGCAAUGCUAGGUAAAUAGGGUUGGAAGUUUCAAACAGAUUCAGAUAGUCUUGUGUCACGUUUGUUUAAGGCGCGCUAUAUUCCUCAUACUGAUUUUCUGAUUUGUCGAAUUGGUGCUAAUCCUAGUUAUGUGUGGCGUAGUAUUUUUAGUGCUAAAAUAGAUGUCCAACAUGGUGCUAGAUGGAGGAUUGGAACGGGUGCUAAUAUUCCUUUGUUUGGUGCACCGUGGCUCAAAGAUGGGCGAUCUUUUACAACAAAUUGUCCUAUGUAUGAAUCUCUUUCUCAUGUUAAAGUACAGAAUAUUAUCGAGCCAACGACAAAGGUUUGGAGCACCACUCUUAUAUCUUCUCCUUUUCGUUAUAAUACUAUCCAGAUUAUUUUGAAUACUACUCUUCAUCCACUUGUUAGCGAAAACAAAUUAGUGCGAAAGGCUGAGAAAAAUGGUAAUUAUUCUGUCCGUAAUGCAUAUCGUAUUUGUGUAACUGACAUUGCAGAUAAUUUCCAUUUACAUGUGUCGGGGAGAUGGAAUUUGAUUUGGAAGCUUAAAGUUCCUCCCAAGAUCAAAAACUUUGUGUGGCGUAAGUGUCAGGGAUGUUUCCUGAUGACAUCUCGUCAUUACGUAAUUUUAUAUGUAUUUUGAUCACAAAUUGGAGUUCACAAGGAAUCUUAUGCAGCAAAAAGAGCAGAAAAUGUGUCAUGAUUUGGAACAAACGUGACACGAUUUUAGAAACCAAAACAUGCUUUCAAUAUUGAGGAAAACGUGUCACGAUGGCAAAAACGUGACACGAUUUGAGGAAACCCUAAUUUAGCUUUUUGUUAUUCAGAGGAAACCAUGUCACGAUUAACUUAAAACGCGACACGAUUUUGGGCGAAUUUCUAUGCCUAUUUAAGCUGAAGUCUAUUCCAAAGACAAGCGUUACAAUUUGAAGAGAGCAAAGUGCGAUUUUGAGACUACAAGAUGGCUAGGAGGGCGAUUUCUUCAUCCUUUUACCUGUUCAUGUAUGUAUUGAUUCCUCUAAUGAUUAUGUUAUUUGUAAACACCAUUAUGACUAGCUAAAUCCAUUAGAGGUUAGGUCUGAGAUGAUUCUUUAUAACCUUAAUUGAACCAUGUUGCUGUGAAACUCUAUUUAUUGUGAAUGACAAUAUAGUUUUUAUUCAAUUCAAUUGUUCUUAAUACUUUUUAUCUCGUGAUCAAAUAUAAACAUGAUUUAGUGAGAACGAAUGACUACUGACCCUAGCUUUCGACUUAGACUGAAUUGAAUUGUUCUAAUAAACAUGGUUAGUCUAGGAAUGAAUAAUCAUUUAUUAGUGAUAUUAGGUUAACAUGCUUAAACCUUCAAAAGUUAGUAGACCACCUAAGGAAUUAGGGGCUACAAGUAACCCUAGAAGAGGGUCCGAACUCAAUGGAUUGAUUAUGACUAUUUUGUUAAUUAUCGUGGAACUAAUGAAUCAUUCAUAAGAAUAGGUGCAGUAUACCAAUUAGGGGAACAUAGAUGAUUCGAAAGACCUAAACUCAUCUCUCUCUUAUUCUUAAAACCAACUUUACUUUAUUUCGUUAAUUUUAUGCAAUCAAACCAAUCAACUGCCUAGUGGCAAAUAAAAAUAACUUUUGUACAUCCUAACUUACAACGUAAUUGAAUUAUUGAAAUUAAAAUCAGUCCUUGUGGGAACGAUAUUUUUACUACUUCGAUAGUAUUCGGUACACUUGCGAAACGUCUAUCAUUUCCCAACACGCACACGCCUUAGCAGCCGAGGAGUGCAUUGUUCCACACAGUCUGUUCUUUGUGGUAGUAACUAUGAAGAUAAGAUUCAUGUGUUGUUGGAAUGCCCAGGUGCAAGGAAAGCUUGGCGUGAGGUUCAAUUAUGGGACACGAUUGACAAAACUCUCCGAAAAAAUUAUAAUAUGGAUACACUUAUUUUUACUCUUCUUGAUCAACUGCCUUUGGUCCAAAGAGAAUUAGUUUUCAGAACUCUCAUGUCGAGUUCAAUAGGAGGCAAGCCAAUGGGGUCGCUAAUGAAUUAGCUAGGGUAGCCCCAUCUCAUACUAGCUCCCAUGUUUAUGAUAAUGUACCGUCAUGUAUUUCUUCUUUGAUUGAUAAUGAGAAGCAAUGAAUUUCUCCUUUCAAAAAAAAAAAAAAUAUAUAUUUUAAUGUAUAUAUUCUAUCCACACCAGUCUUGGAGGAGUUUACUAUGGUCGGUCCAUUACAUUGUACCGUUACAUGACAAAACUUAUACAACCAAAAUAACUAUAUUUAAAACUAUGUAACGAGAAACACUCCAAUCUGUUUACUUGUCUUGUUCUAUUUCCUUUGUAGUUUUCUUGCAUAUCAUAUAUUGUAAUAUUCCAUUUGUUUCUAUUAAAGAAAAUACUCAUCCUUAGAAUACUUUAACAUUGCACAAGAAAAUUAUCAGAAAUGAGUAAUUCUGCAAGCAGAAAACCACAUGCUGUGUUGAUUCCAUAUCCACUUCAAGGCCAUAUCAAUCCAAUGUUCAGAUUAGCAAAACUACUUCACCUUAGAGGCUUUCACAUAACCUUUGUUAACACCGAAUACAAUCACAAACGUUUGCUCAAAUCAAGAGGUCCUAAUGCUUUUGAUGGUUUCACCGAUUUUCGCUUUGAGACUAUUCCUGAUGGUUUAACUCCAAUGGAUGGCGAUGGUGGUGAUGCUACUCAAGACUUGAUAUCUCUUCGCGAAUCAAUCAGAAAGAAUUGCAUCGAACCUUUUCGCGAACUUUUAGCUAAACUUAAUGACUCUGCAAAAGCCGGUCUUAUACCUUUUGUUACUUGCUUAGUUUCUGAUUGUAUUAUGCCAUUUACUACACAAGUUGCUGAAGAACUUGCACUCCCAAUAGUGAUCUUUUUCCCGUCAAGUGCUUGUUCUUUCCUGUCUAUUUUACACUUUCGUGCACUUAUUGAGAAAGGUCUCAUACCACUCAAAGGUAACAGUUUGUGUUCCUUUUCUUAUUAUUUAAGAGAGAUGUGUGUGUACAUAUCAAGGUUUUGAAAACAAGGUCUGCAACCGCGAUCUAGGCUGAGCAUAAAGAUUGCGACGUCUUUAUGAUCGUAUAUGAGGCUGCAUUAGGCUUAUUUGGUUGCGAUUAUGAUUCAUAUAAAAAUAGCGACAUCAUAGAGAUGAUUAUUGCGACCAAGAUUGAAAACCUUGAUAUUUAUAUAUUUCUGCUAUUUACUUUUGCAAUUAUGAUAUGCAGAUGAGAGUUAUUUGACAAAUGGAUAUUUGGACACUAAAGUUGACUGGAUUCCAGGUUUGCGAAACUUUAGACUGAAGGACCUUCCUGAUUUUAUACGGACAACAGAUGCUAAUGAUUUGAUGUUAGAAUUUAUCUUUGAAAUGGUAGAUAGACUUCAUAGAGCUUCUGCUAUUUUUUUAAAUACUUCUAAUGAUCUUGAGAGUGAUGUUAUGAAUGCUCUUUAUUCUAUGCUCCCUUCUCUAUACACCAUUGGCCCAUUUGCUUCGUUUUUGAAUCAAAGUCCACAAAAUCACUUGGAAUCUUUAGGUUCCAAUCUUUGGAAAGAAGAUACUAAAUGUCUUGAAUGGCUUGAAUCAAAAGAAUCAGGAUCUGUUGUUUAUGUUAAUUUUGGUAGCAUCACGAUUAUGUCUCCGGAGAAAUUGUUAGAGUUUGCUUGGGGUUUGGCCAAUAGCAAGAAAACCUUUUUAUGGAUCAUUAGGCCUGAUCUUGUCAUUGGUGGCUCAGUGGUUUUGUCGUCUGAGUUUGUGAAUGAAAUUGCAGAUAGAGGCCUAAUAGCAAGUUGGUGUCCACAAGAGAAAGUUUUGAACCACCCUUCAAUUGGCGGAUUCUUGACUCAUUGCGGAUGGAACUCAACCACUGAGAGCAUAUGCGCUGGAGUGCCAAUGCUUUGUUGGCAAUUCUUUGGUGAUCAACCAACAAACUGUAGAUUUAUUUGCAAUGAAUGGGAGAUUGGGAUCGAAAUCGAUAUGAAUGUGAAGAGAGAGGAGGUUGAAAAGCUUGUCAAUGAAUUGAUGGUGGGAGAGAAAGGAAAUAAAAUGAGGAAAAAGGUUAUGGAGUUGAAAAAGAAGGCAGACGAGGACACUAGACUUGGCGGGUCUUCAUACUUGAACUUGGACAAAGUGAUCAAGGAGGUGUUGCUUAAACAAAAUUAGUUCAAAGUGAUUUAUUUUUUGCAAAGAAGUACUUUUCUUGUAUAUCGAUUUUCUCUUGUUUAAUAUAUUUCUUUGACAAGCAAAAACAUAUGAUUGUGGACCACCACCAUAAGUUUUGUUCCUAAGCUUAUGCAAGCUACACAGAAACAGUGUCUGAUGUUAUCAAGACUCAUUCAUCCAAAAUAUAUAUAUGCUGCAGCUUCACUCUACAUAUUCAAAAUAUAAUUUUAUAUCAUUCAACUCGAUUAAUAGAAAAAACAUUUUCACACUUACAAUAUUCCGGUAAAAGUAUAACGGAUUCAUCACAUAAAACAGAACAGAUUCUAGUUUUAGCCCAAAAAAUAAGAGCAAAACAAUUAAGAAAUAGACUAGAGACCAAAGUUGCAAAAUUCAACUUUAUAUGCAUACCAUAUAACUUCAAAAUGUUGAUACUCAAAACAUUUAAGAUUAGCCAGAAUCACAACUUCAGUUUAGGAACUCCAGCUGAUGAUAGGUUCCAUCAUUAUAAACUCAUUAACUUAUUACCAUCAUUGUAUUUGUACUUGCUAAUACACUGCAAUAACAUCAUAACUUAAGACCCUGUUUGGAUUAACAGCUAAAUUUAUAGCUUAUAGUAUUAGUACUUACCAUAAUAAGCACUUAGUUAUAAGCUAUAUUUAUAAUGCGAAAAUAAAAUAAAGUUAAAUUAGUUUUUUUAUAAGCUGUAAGCUCUUUUUAUAAGCUACUCUUCUAGAGCUUACGGAAAUAAGUUGAAAACAACUCAUGAACAUAUAAGAAGUUGUUUACAUAAAUUCUGCAAACAGUCUUCUAAGUGUUUAUGCCGGUAAAUAAGUUCAAUUAAGCUAAACCAAACAGACCCUAAAUCAUGAAUAGCUAGAAAUUUAAGUGCGGAAUAAGGUUGAAACCCUGAUCAACCAAAUUAUAAACCUAUGAAGCACGGACACAGACAGAGACAUUGGACACGAUACUCACAUGUGUUGGAGCUUGUCAAAGAAAUAUAUUCAAUAAGAGAAAAUCAAUAUAGAAAUACAGUACUUUGCAGGGAAAAAAAUCACUUUAAUCUAAUUUUGUUUGAGCAGCACCUCCUUAAUCACUUUUUCCAAGUUCACAUAUGAACAACCACCUGGUCUUGUGUCCUCCUCUGCCUUCUUCUUCAAUUCCAUGGCCUUUUGCCUCAUCUUCUUUCCUUUAUCUCCCACCAUUAAUUCAUUGAUCAGCUUCUCCACCUCCUCUCUCUUCACAUUGGUAUCAAUUUCUGCUCCAAUCUCCCAUUCAUUGCAAAUAUAUCUGCAAUUUGUUGGCUGCUCAGCAAAAAAAGGCCAACACAACAUUGGUACUCCGGCACAGAUGCUUUCCAUUGUGGAGUUCCAUCCACAAUGAGUCAAGAAUCCUCCAACUGAAGGAUGGUUCAACACUUUCUCUUGCGGACACCAGCUUGCUAUUACGCCUCUAUCCGAAGUUUCAUUCACAAAAUCGGAUGACAAAAUAACCGAGCCACCAAUGACAAGGUCAGGCCUAAUAAUCCACAAAAAAGGUUUCUUGCUGUUGGCCAAACCCCAAGCGAACUCUAACAGUUGAUCUGGAGUCAUGACCGUGAUGCUUCCAAAAUUCACAUAAACUACAGAACCUUGUUCCUUAGAUUCAAGCCAUUCAAGACAUUUCAUAUCUUCUUUCCAAAGAUUAGAACCUAUAGAAGCCAAGUUAUUUUGCGGACUUUGAUUCAAAAAUGAAGUUAAAGGGCCAAUGGCAUAAAUAGAAGGGAUCUUAAUAGAUAGAGCAUUUAUUACAUCAUUCUCAAGUUCAUCAGAAGUAUUGAAAACAAUAGAAUUAGCUUCAUGAACCCUAUCGGCCGCUUCAAUGAUAAAUUUUAUCAUUAUAUCAUUAGGAUCAGUAGUUCUUAUAAAGUCAGGCAGGUCCUUUAGUCUAAAGUUUCCCAAACCUGGAAUCCAGUCAACUUUAGUGUCCAAAUAUCCAUUUGUCAAAUAACUCUCAUCUGCAUAUCAUAAUCACAAAAGCCAUUAACAUCAAACUCUCCAAACUUCUAAUACAUAUUAAGACUUAACUAUUUCAUAAGUUCUAGAUAUAAAAGGAUCAGAUUCUUACAACAUGGACAAAGAAAUAACAUAUAUAAAGUGUUACCUUUGAGUGGUAUGACACCUUUAUCAAUCAAUGUACGAAAGUGCAAAGCCGACAGAAGUGAACAUGCACUAGCUGAACUAAAUAGAACACUAGGUAAACCAUGUUCUUCAGCAGCUUGUAUAGUAAAAGUCAAUCCAAUAUCAGAAACUAAGCAACUAACAGGAGGAAUAUGACCAUCAUUGGAAGAAUCUUUAAGUCUAGCAAGAAGUUCACAGAAGGGGUGAUAGAAAUUCUUUCUUAUUGAAUCGGAAAGAGAGAUAAUGUCUUGACUAACAUCACCAUCGCCUUCUAUCGGAGUUAAACCAUCUGGAAUAGUCUCAAAGGUAAAAUCAGUGAAACCAUCAAAGGCUUUUGGACCUCUUGAUUUGAGCAAACGUUUGUGAUUGUAUUCGGUGUUGACAAAGGUUAUGUGAAAGCCUCUAAGAUGAAGAAGUUUUGCUAGUUUUAACAACGGAUUGAUAUGGCCUUGAAGUGGAUAUGGAGUUAUCACUGCAUGUGGCUUAAUUCUCUCUGCAAAAUUGCUCAUGUUUGAAUUUGUGUGUGUAAGAUAAGUUUAAGAAUAAAGGGAUACAAGUGAUCUUUGCUUUAAUAGAGAGAAAAUGUCAUCUUCAUUGUUUGGUGUAAGAAAAUGAGGGAAGUACAAAGGAUAAGUGUUAUACCCUGUUUUUGGACCUAAAAAUACUGGGCCCAAUUUCAUUUCAAACUUUGUCAAUUAUCAAAUUUCAACUGCACAGUUCAAAUUGUCUCUGCCUCGCAGUAUUUUUCAAUCACAAUUUUACCUAUGUUUUUCUUGCAUAAAACCUUUCGAAAUGUCUUUACUUGUCUUGUAAGUCAUUCAAAAGUGUCUCUGAAUCAUUACAUUGCUUUUUCCACAGUUUAUUUCAAAAUUUGCAAAGAAGUCAUACAGAAGGGUAUUUUGGUCAUUUCCCGCAGUGGGACCCAUUUUCAUCCUUGUGACUGUCUCUGAGUCUUUUCAAAUUCAUUUUUAACUUUCCAUCAGUAAACCUUGCUAAUUUCGUUUCAAACUUGCAUCUGAGUCAGUGUCGAGUUAAUUUGAUUCUGUUUAGGUCAUUUUUAGCCCUAGGGGCAUUUUGGUCAUUUCACAUAAAAUUUUGGCAUGGGGAGGUUACUUUGAAGUACCUCAUUUAGGCCAUUGGUUCGUUUUAGUCCGUUUUGUCAAUUUUAUUUUUUUGUUUCGCUUUACGUUUUGUCAGGUUACCAAUUUUAUUUCAAUUUUAUUUUAUUUUGCAUUUUGGUCCUCAAAGAGGUCCAAAAUUGCAUUUCAGUCCAGAAUUCUUUCUAUUUGCAUUUUUAGUCCUUUUUGUUAUUUCCAUUUUAGUCCUUUAAUUUUUCAAUUUUGCAGAAAAGGGCUCAAAGUGUCAAGCUCACGUUUUUUUUCAGUUAAAGUCCAGAUGUCACAAUUCUAUUGGUCCAAGAUCACACAUGUCAGCUAUAAAAGGUGUACAGUGCCACACAGACCCAUUAAUCACACGCCAACUCAUAAACACAAAAUCAAUUUUCUCUUUCUCAGCAAUUAGAUCAAAAACAGAAAAUCUCUCAGAAUUUCUCAAGAACACCAGGAACAAAAACCCUAACCGUUUUCCAGAAACCCUAAUUUUCAUCAGAAUCAACAUUUUUUGCAUCAAUCCUCAGAGAUUCGUGUGAAUCUUCAUCACCGGACUGAAGAUUUUCCUGCAAUUCCAAGUGCGAGCUCGCAUUGAAGCAAGCUCAAGCACUGAUCACAGGAUCUCCUCGCGUGGAUCUAAGAAACAUUGAAGCAAGCUCAAGCACGUAAUCACAGAGAAGCAGAGAAAGAGUCAGAGAAGAUGAAGAAUCUGGACCGGUGAAGCAAACAGAAUCAAAAAUCAUCAAGAACAGAAUCAAGAUUUCCAAAGAUUUCCUCCAUUAAAGGUUUCAACCAAAACCUUAGGUAAAACUCAUAAUCUUUUCUCAGAAAAUAAUAUCACUGUUAAACCUAAAAAUCACGCAAGCAAAACAGAUCCAAAAUUUCCAGAAUUCAAAGCCAAAACCGUAACCGUGAACACAAAACCUAGAUCCAUAAGGAUCUAAGUUUUGAAAGCAAAAACAAACAUCAAAGAGGUGUUAAACAACGAAAUGAUGUAGAUCUUCAAGGAUCUAAACGUUUUCUUUCAAAAAAUCAAAAUCAAAUUCAAAGCCGUACGACAAAUUUCCAGAUCUACAUCGUUUCGAAUUGAAUUUGAAAAAACAAUUGCUGGAUUCGUGUUUAGGGUUAAAGGACGAAUUGAUUGAUGAAGAAAUUUUGAAAUUCUGGAAAUUUUAGGUCACCGGAGUUCUUGAACUCGCCGGAGAAGAUGAAGUUUCCGGCGGACCUUCAAGGUCUCCGCCGUAGCUUCAUCCUCGCCGGCGGCGAGGUUAGUGAGAGGUGAGAGAAGAGAGAGGAACUUAGAGAGAGAAAGGGGAGUGAAAAGUGAAGAAAACCGGAACCUCUUCCCUUAUAUAAGCUAGUGAACCAGACCGGUUCAAGACCGGUCCAAUCCUGUUGAUUCCAGGCCGUUUGAUCUAGGGUUUCAGGAUCCUGGAUCAAUCCUGUGGCUCCUGUGAAUCCGGUUCUUUAGGGUUUUGGGUUGGGCCUUUGGUUUCUUUGGAUCUUUACGUUUUGCUAUUUCUGUGCUAUUCACACCCCUAUUUUUUGCUGCCUGCACCUAUGUCUUGAUUAAAAUUGUGAUAAAAUUCCUAGAAAAAUUCAUACAUGUUUCUUGAUAUUUUCUUAGUGUUUUUAUGACAUUUUUGCACAUUAAGGAUCUAUGAAAAUUUUGUAUAAUCAAUUCAUAGCAUUUUAAUUCUCUUUGAAUUAUUUGUUAUGGAUUCUUCUUCACACAUUUGUCCUUGAUGUGAGAAUAUGUAAUAAAAGCUACUUGAUGUGUUAAUAUGAGAGAUUUGUGCCUAUAAUUUCAUGUUGAUUUGCUGUUUUGAUUUGGUUUAUGAGUUCUUGUUUUUAUGAACAAUAUAUCCAUAUUUUGAAAGAUAUAAAAUGCCAAGUUUACUCUAGAAAAUAUGGCAUGAAAUCAUGCUUGCAUGUUUCCAAUAAUUCCAUGCUAUAACUUGAGAUAAAGAAAACUCUUUCAAAAUUUGUUAAAGCAUGAGAAUUAGAGGCCAAGAAUGCUUUAGGUUUCAUACCUAAGUUUUUAGGGUUUAAUGUCAUUUUGUUAACUUUUUGUGCCAUCUUGCAUGCUUUUAUUUCUUAGUACUUGUUAUGUUUUUUCUUUUCACUAACAAGUUUAUUUCCAUGUUUCAUGCAUCCCAUUUAGCAUUCCCUCCACUUUCUUUAGCCUAGCCUUUAUCUUUUGCAAGUUUUAAUUCAUUUGGUAAUGUAAUUUGUUAUCAUUGGUUUGUAGCUUGGCAAAGGGGCCAUAGAAUGUAUUUAGGCAAUUUUUGUAAUAUGGACUAUGGACACUAUGAUGCACCGACACGCACACACUCACCUUAGAUGUAUGCAUAGGAUUGUAUGGUUAAAUAAGCGUUUAGGUUUUAAACACUUAGAGAAAAUCCAUCUUUUUUUCAAAAAAAAAUAAUUGAACUUCACUUCAAAAACUUUCCUAAUAAGUAUGAAGUCAACACUUCAUUUUUUUCCUUUCUUUUUUUCUUAAGAAAAAUUCAAUUCAUCUUAAUCAUUUAGACUUUCUUUCUAAUCACUAAUCAAACCUCACUUUUUGCUAAAUCUAAUGCUCAUGAAGCCUCCCAAUCUCCUUCUUCAAAACCUUUUUUCUCAAAACUUAAAAUUAAACAAUUAGAACAAAAAACAAGUCUUUUUAGCAAGAACUACGCCGGUUUUGAUCCCGUAAAACGGUACGUAGGCAAUGAGUCAAAACUCAUCCAAGCCGAAAUAAAAUCCAAUUCUACUUCUUCUCACCCCCAUUCUUCACUAAUCAUACUUUCUUUUUUACAAAUAAGCAAUAAAACUAAAGCGUAGAAAUAAACUUAGGAAAGCGGUUCUUAUGGAGUACCAUAAUCGCUCCGGGUGCCUAACACCUUCCCGUAGCGAAAACGACCCCCGAACUUAGAAUCUAAGGGUUUUUCUCAAUUUUGCCCUUCCCAAGAAAAAAUAGAGAAUAUCAACGGUCAAAAGGUUCAAGUCCAAUUAAUGGCUUGGCACCCAAAAACCAUGAUAACAGAAAUGGCGACUUCACUGGGGAUUUUUUUAGCGGGUCACGCCUAGUUUUCCUUAGUUUAUUUACGCUUUGUUUUAUUGCUUACAUAUGUGAAUACUUGUUUACUUUCAUUUGACGUGUGGGGUGAGAAUAUCAAAAGUCCUAUACCCGGGCUGAGUGAACUUAUGUUUAGGUAGAGAUAUAAUCGAGAAUUCGAUCCGGGGGUUGCCUCGUGUAUUGGAUUAUGCGAUCAAUCUCACAUAGCUGAGGCAUUUUGAAGGUGAUAUUGUCGGCGUGUGUUGUCAUGCUUAGGCACUUCACUUUCAAUUGUUCGACGAAGCUAUGAACCGUAGUUACCAAACCCAUCCUAGCCUUUUUAGGACGUAGUGCGGUGGCUAAAUUGAGUGUUGUCUCAAACUUUAGUCGUCACGCGAUACUACACUCAAGCUAGACCUUCUCACAAAUAAUCAUGGAACGGGUGUCGUCCUGUACUACCAUGAUAUAUGUGAGAGAGGUUGCAGUUUGGGAACUGUGUUAGAACCAUGGUUACUACUAUCCAAAGCCUUAGUUCACCGGACGCCGUGUCCAUCCGUGGCCCCGUUACUUUGAAACUCAAUCCACUUUUAACAACACGAUCAUGCAUACAUGCAUUCAUGCAUAAACAUUUUUCAUGCAUUCAUCGAAGGGUUUAAACAAAUGGAAAUUUUUGUAAAUAAUCACAGGUAUGAAGAAGACUAAGUGCUACAAGUUCAAGGAAGUGGAUUUGGUUAGUUUGAGAGAGUUGGCACUCAAGGUCAAGAGUCAAACAGGGUUCCGACUCCGGUAUGGGGGAUUGCUUACUUUGCUCCGAACCGAUGUGGACGAGAAGCUAGUGCACACUCUAGUGCAAUUUUAUGAUCCAAGCUUCUGUUGCUUCACCUUCCCGGACUUCCAGUUGGUUCCUACUCUCGAGGCUUACUCCAAUCUAGUGGGUUUACCUAUGGCCGAGAAGACGCCUUUCACCGGUCCCGGGACUUCUCUUACUCCUCUGGUUAUUGCUAAGGAUCUCUACCUCAAGACUUCCGACGUCUCCAACCAUCUUAUUACCAAGUCUCACAUUCGGGGGUUCACUUCGAAGUAUCUUCUUGAUCAGGCUAAUCUCGGUACUACUCGUCAGGAUACACUCGAGGCUAUUCUUGCUUUGCUUAUCUACGGGCUCAUUCUCUUCCCGAACCUCGACAACUUCGUGGACAUGAAUGCUAUCGAGAUCUUUCAUUCCAAGAACCCGGUUCCUACUUUGCUAGCGGAUACCUACCACGCCAUUCAUGACAGGACUCUCAAGGGCCGUGGGUAUAUUCUUUGCUGCAUACCUCUUCUGUAUAGGUGGUUUAUUUCGCACCUUCCGAGUUCCUUCCAUGAUAACUCGGAGAACUGGUCCUACUCGCAGCGGAUUAUGGCCCUCACUCCUAAUGAGGUCGUCUGGCUCACUCCGGCCGCUCAGGUGAAGGAAAUUGUCAUGGGUUGUGGAGACUUUCUCAAUGUACCUCUUCUUGGUACUCGUGGAGGAAUUAACUACAACCCCGAGCUUGCUAUGAGGCAGUUUGGUUUUCCUAUGAAGUCGAAGCCCAUCAAUCUUGCUACAUCUCCAGAGUUCUUCUUCUAUGCGAAUGCUCCUACCGGACAAAGGAAAGCUUUCAUGGAUGCUUGGUCCAAGGUUCGAAGGAAGAGUGUGAAGCAUCUAGGUGUGAGAUCCGGUAUUGCUCAUGAGGCCUAUACUCAGUGGGUGAUAGAUCGAGCUGAGGAGAUCGGUAUGCCUUAUCCAGCUAUGAGAUAUGUGUCUUCGUCUACUCCAUCUAUGCCUCUACCUCUACUCCCCGCGACUCAGGAUAUGUAUCAGGAGCAUCUAGCUAUGGAGAGUCGUGAGAAGCAAGUGUGGAAAGCUCGGUACAAUCAAGCCGAGAAUCUAAUCAUGACUUUGGAUGGUAGAGAUGAGCAGAAGACUCAUGAGAAUCUAAUGUUGAAGAAAGAGCUAGCUAAGGCCCGGAGGGAAUUGGAAGAGAAAGAUGAGCUGCUUAUGAGGGACUCCAAGAGAGCCAGAGGACGACGAGACUUCUUUGCCAGAUACUGUGAUUCAGAUUCCGAGUCCGAUGAUCUUCCGACUACUUCCUAUGCUUGAGGGCUUCAUAUGUUUAUUUCAAAGUCUUUCUGUUGAGAAUACUAUGUAGUUUUGUUUAUUUGCAAGAUUUCUAAUUUGUUUAAAAAUCCUUCGAUGAGAGAAUAAGUCUUUUGCAUUUGCAUUUGCACAUCAUGCAUCAUAUGCAUCAUGCAUUGGUCACAAAGGCUUCCAAGUGCUUACCACCUCCUGGUUUCUCUGCCGCAGUGUGAAAAGUGGCUCGUGCUCAGAGAAUUUACGAACCUGAUAGAAUUGAUCGAACCAGAGAAUACAGAAGAAAGAAAAGGGCUAUGGAAGAAGAGAACACACAGCUUCGUACCGAAUUGGCAUCUCUAAGGGAGGAAUUGGCCAAAGCUCAUGAUGCUAUGACUGCUCUGUUGGCUGCUCAGGAACAACCAGUUCCUGUAGUUUCUACAGCUGCAAAUGUGACUCCUACCGUAACAACUGAUCCCCGCUCUAUCAUGCCAUCCGGGUACCCUUACGGACUUCCGCUGUACUAUACUACUAAUACAGGGGCAGGGACCUCUGGUACUACCAACAAUGGCCCAAUCCCAGGGGCAAACUUAACUCCUGUUAGUACCGCCUUGACUCAAGCUGCAACGACUGUUACCGAGCCCAUUGUGAAUGCGGUGCCUCUAUUUGUCCAUGCUAAUGCGCACCACGGGAGUAUUGCCACAACCGGAACUAUGGAAGAGAGAAUGGAAGAACUUGCCAAAGAGCUCCGACGGGAAAUUAAGGCCAACAGGGGAAACGGGGACUCCAUUAAAACCCAGGAUCUCUGCUUGGUAUCGAAGGUAGAUGUUCCAAAAAAGUUCAAAGUCCCGGAGUUCGACAAAUAUAACGGGCUGACUUGUCCUCAAAAUCAUAUUGUCAAAUACGUCCGGAAGAUGGGCAACUACAAGGACAAUGAUUCCCUUAUGAUCCAUUACUUCCAAGACAGUCUGAUGGAAGAUGCUGCAGAGUGGUAUACUAGUCUGAGCAAAGAUGAUGUCCAUACCUUUGAUGAGCUAGCCACCGCUUUCAGGAGCCACUACGGGUUUAACACUCGUUUGAAGCCGAAUAGGGAGUUCCUCAGGUCCCUAUCUCAGAAAAAGGAGGAGAGUUUCCGUGAAUAUGCGCAAAGGUGGAGAGGGGCAGCUGCCCGUAUCACUCCUGCUUUAGAUGAAGAAGAAAUGACCCAGACAUUCUUAAAGACCUUGAAGAAGGAUUAUGUUGAGAGGAUGAUCAUCGCCGCCCCGAACAACUUUUCAGAGAUGGUCACUAUGGGAACCCGUCUUGAGGAAGCAGUCAGGGAUGGAAUCAUUGUGUUUGAGAAAGCUGAAUCUUCUACGAGUGCAUCGAAGAGGUAUGGUAAUGGACACCACAAGAAGAAAGAAACGGAAGUGGGGAUGGUGUCAGCUGGAGCCGGUCAAUCUAUGGCUACUGUUGCACCUAUCAAUGCAGCUCAAAUGCCUCCGUCAUACCCAUAUAUGCCGUAUUCUCAGCAUCCGUUCUUCCCACCGUUUUAUCAUCAGUAUCCUUUGCCACCAGGCCAACCUCAGGUUCCUGUCAAUGCCAUCGCUCAACAGGUACAACAUCAACCGCCAGUUCAACAGCAGCAGCAGCAGUAUACUAGACCAACUUUUCCUCCUAUACCAAUGUUGUAUGCUGAGUUGCUUCCAACUUUACUCCAGAGAGGACAUUGCACAACUAGACAGGGCAAGCCACCACCUGAUCCGUUGCCUCCAAGGUUCAGGUCUGAUCCCAAAUGUGACUUUCAUCAAGGUGCCUUAGGUCAUGAUGUCGAGGGGUGUUAUGCUUUGAAGUAUAUUGUGAAGAAGCUCAUUGAUCAGGGAAAGCUGACUUUUGAGAACAAUGUUCCACAUGUCCUUGACAAUCCACUACCAAAUCAUGCCGCUGUGAAUAUGAUCGAAGUGUGUGAGGAAGCUCCUAGACUUGAUGUCCGCAAUGUUGCCACUCCCCUGGUGCCUCUGCAUAUCAAGCUAUGCAAAGCUUCUCUGUUCAGCCAUGAUCAUGCCAAGUGUCUAGGAUGCCUCCGUGAUCCUUUGGGUUGCCAUACUGUUCAAGACGACAUCCAAAGCCUGAUGGAUGAUAAUCUUCUGACUGUCAGUGAUGUUUGCGUGGUCGUGCCAGUUUUUCACGAUCCGCCUGUCAAGAGUGUACCUUUGAAGAAGAAUGCUGAGCCUUUGGUGAUAAGGUUGCCAGGACCAAUUCCUUAUGUUUCGGACAAGGCAGUGCCAUACAAGUACAAUGCUACUAUGAUAGAAAAUGGAGUAGAGGUGCCUCUAGCCUCCUUUGCCACAGUAAGCAAUAUUGCCGAAGGGACUUCUGCAGCGCUAAGAAGCGGGAAGGUUCGUCCGCCAUUAUUUCAGAAGAAGGUAGCUACGCCAAUCACUCCACCAGUUGAAGAAGCAACUCCAACCGUUGUUUCACCCAUUGCUACAGAUGUGAAUCAGCCAGGCAAGUCUAUAGAGGAUUCGAAUUUAGAUGAGAUUCUGAGAAUAAUAAAGAGGAGCGACUACAAGAUCGUUGAUCAAUUGCUGCAAACUCCUUCGAAGAUAUCCGUCUUGUCACUACUCUUGAGCUCUGAGGCUCAUAGGAAUACCUUGUUGAAAGUGCUGGAGCAGGCUUAUGUUGACCACGAAGUCUCGGUAGAUCGUUUCGGUGGCAUAGUGGGAAAUAUCACUGCUUGUAACAACCUCUGGUUCAGUGAAGAAGAGUGGCCAGAAGUGGGAAAGGGUCACAAUCUGGCUUUGCACAUCUCGGUGAACUGUAAAUCAGACAUGAUAUCAAAUGUGUUGGUGGAUACCGGUUCCUCUCUCAAUGUAAUGCCCAAGACAACUCUAGAUCAGUUGAGCUACCGCGGGACCCCGUUGAGGAGAAGUACUUUCUUGGUCAAAGCUUUUGACGGAUCUCGAAAGAAUGUGCUGGGAGAGAUAGACUUGCCGAUAACUAUUGGCCCUGAGAAUUUCUUGGUUACCUUCCAAGUGAUGGACAUUAAUGCAUCCUACAGUUGCCUGCUGGGAAGACCGUGGAUACACGAUGCAGGUGCGGUUACUUCCACUUUACAUCAGAAGUUGAAAUUUGUGAAGAAUGGAAAACUCGUUACAAUCCAUGGUGAAGAAGCAUACUUAGUCAGCCAGUUGUCUUCUUUUUCUUGUGUUGAAGCAGGGUCUGCUGAAGGGACUGCUUUCCAAGGUUUGACCAUUGAAGGCGCAGAGCCUAAGGAAGCUGGGGCUGCUAUGGCUUCAUUGAAAGAUGCUCAGAGAGCCAUCCAAGAAGGUCAGACUGCCGGCUGGGGCAAGGUGAUACAGCUCUGUGAGAACAAGCGUAAAGAAGGUCUCGGGUUCUCCCCGUCAUCAAGGGUUUCCUCGGGAGUCUUCCACAGUGCAGGGUUUGUUAAUGCUAUCUCUGAAGAAGCCACUGGAUCUGGUCUCAGGCCUGUAUUUGUUACACCAGGAGGCAUUGCGACAAAUUGGGAUGCCGUUGACAUUCCUUCAAUCAUGCAUGUUUCUGAGUAAUGUGUCUUGUUGCUUUAGUACUUUGUUUUCAAAAUAACAAUCCUCUCGCUCUGCCCAAAGCGAGAGUGAUAUUUUCUGUAAGGGCAUGUUUGUUUCGGCAUUGCCGUUGAUUAAUAAAAUUUUGUCGUUUCUUCCACGACUACUUUUUUUAAGUGCUUUUUCCCUUGGAAGCAAUGGUAAUGCCAGAAAAAACCAAAACGUCUGUAUUUUCUUAUUAAUUUCAAAAAUCUGCAUGAAAAAAAACUCUUUCUAAAAAUCAUCCAAUCAUUAUAUGCAGGUUGAACCAUAAUAAAUCCGUUGAACACAGUAAUCCUACGGUUCCUCCAAGUUUUGAUUUCCCUGUAUAUGAAGCCGAAGAUGAGGAAGGUGAUGACAUACCGUAUGAGAUCACUCGGUUACUUGAGCAAGAAAAGAAAGCCAUUCAGUCUCACCAAGAAGAGAUUGAGCUUAUCAACAUAGGUACCGAGGAAAACAAGCGAGAAAUCAAGAUUGGUGCUACCCUAGAGGAAGGGGUUAAACAGAAGAUCAUCCAACUCCUCCGGGAAUAUCCGGAUAUUUUUGCAUGGUCCUAUGAAGAUAUGCCAGGUCUAGACCCUAUGAUCGUGGAGCAUCGGAUCCCUACCAAGCCUGAAUGUCCUCCCGUCAGGCAGAAAUUGAGAAGGACUCAUCCUGACAUGGCCCUCAAGAUUAAGAGUGAAGUUCAAAAGCAGAUUGAUGCGGGUUUCCUCAUGACAGUGGAGGUAUCCCGAAUGGGUUGCCAAUAUUGUGCCUGUGCCAAAGAAGGAUGGUAAAGUCCGGAUGUGUGUUGACUUUAGGGACUUGAACAAAGCCAGUCCAAAAGACAACUUUCCGUUACCUCAUAUUGAUGUGCUUGUUGAUAAUACUGCUCAAUCUAAGGUGUUCUCCUUCAUGGACGGUUUUUCCGGUUAUAAUCAGAUCAAAAUGUCUCCUGAAGAUAGAGAAAAGACAUCUUUUAUCACGCCAUGGGGUACUUUCUGCUACAAAGUGAUGCCGUUCGGCCUAAUCAAUGCUGGUGCUACCUACCAAAGGGGAAUGACCACUCUGUUUCAUGACAUGAUUCACAAAGAAGUUGAGGUAUAUGUGGAUGACAUGAUUGUGAAGUCAGCAGAUGAGGAGCAGCAUGUUGAAUAUUUAACAAAGAUGUUUGAAAGGUUGAGAAAAUACAAGCUGCGACUGAAUCCCAACAAAUGUACAUUCGGUGUCAGGUCUGGAAAGUUAUUAGGCUUCAUUGUCAGCCAAAAGGGCAUUGAAGUCGAUCCUGAUAAAGUCCGGGCCAUCCGAGAAAUGCCAGCUCCACAGACAGAGAAGCAAGUCAGAGGUUUCUUGGGACGUUUGAAUUACAUCUCCCGAUUCAUAUCUCAUAUGACUGCAACCUGCGGGCCGAUCUUCAAACUACUUAGAAAGAACCAGCCUGUUGUAUGGGAUGAUGAAUGCCAAGAAGCUUUUGAUAGCAUCAAGAAUUACCUGCUGGAACCACCUAUCCUUGUCCCACCCGUGGAAGGAAGGCCUUUGAUUAUGUAUUUGGCAGUAUUUGAUGAAUCCAUGGGAUGUGUACUUGGUCAACAAGAUGAAACCGGAAAGAAAGAGCAUGCUAUCUACUAUCUAAGCAAGAAGUUCACCGAUUGUGAAACUCGGUAUACAAUGCUUGAAAAGACUUGUUGUGCUCUAGCUUGGGCUGCCAAACGCCUGCGCCAUUAUUUGGUGAAUCAUACAACUUGGUUGAUAUCCAGAAUGGAUCCGAUAAAGUAUAUCUUUGAGAAAGCGGCCGUUACUGGGAAGAUCGCACGCUGGCAGAUGCUUUUGUCUGAAUAUGAUAUUGUGUUCAAAACUCAAAAGGCAAUCAAAGGCAGCAUUCUUGCCGAUCACCUUGCUUAUCAACCUCUUGAUGAUUACCAACCAAUUGAAUUCGAUUUCCCUGAUGAAGAGAUCAUGUAUUUGAAAUCCAAAGACUGCGACGAACCGUUGAUUAAUGAAGGUCCAGAUCCCAAUAGCAAGUGGGGUUUAGUCUUUGAUGGUGCUGUCAAUGCUUAUGGCAAAGGAAUUGGGGCAGUCAUUGUAUCCCCGCAAGGGCAUCACAUUCCUUUUACCGCCCGUAUUCUGUUCGAAUGUACAAACAAUAUGGCUGAGUAUGAAGCAUGUAUCUUCGGGAUCGAGGGAGCAAUUGACAUGAGAAUCAAACACCUCGACAUCUAUGGAGAUUCUGCGCUCGUCAUCAAUCAGAUAAAGGGUGAAUGGGAGACCCACCAUGCUAAGUUGAUUCCUUAUCGUGAUUAUGCGAGACGUCUUCUGACAUAUUUUACAAAGGUUGAGCUGCAUCAUAUUCCUCGUGAUGAGAACCAAAUGGCUGAUGCUCUUGCUACUCUAUCUUCCAUGUUUCGAGUAAACCAUUGGAAUGAUGUGCCAUUAAUUAAAGUGCAACGCCUUGAAAGACCUUCGCAUGUGUUUGCUAUUGGGGAUGUGAUCGAUCAGGCUGGUGAAAAUAUGGUUGACUAUAGACCCUGGUACUACGACAUCAAACAGUUCUUGCUGAGCCGUGAGUAUCCGCCGGGUGCUUCCAAACAAGACAAGAAGACCUUGAGAAGAUUGGCCGGUAGAUUCUUGUUAGAUGGAGAUAUUCUGUACAAGAGGAACUAUGACAUGGUAUUGUUAAGAUGUGUUGAUGAACAUGAAGCAGAGCAGUUAAUGCAUGAUGUACAUGACGGUACCUUCGGGACCCAUGCUACAGGGCAUACUAUGUCAAGAAAGUUGCUACGGGCAGGUUACUACUGGAUGGCCAUGGAGCAUGAUUGCUACCAAUACGCCAGAAAAUGCCACAAAUGUCAAAUCUAUGCUGAUAAGAUUCAUGUGCCUCCGCACGCUCUCAAUGUUAUGUCAUCCCCAUGGCCGUUCUCAAUGUGGGGCAUCGAUAUGAUUGGAAGAAUUGAACCGAAAGCUUCAAAUGGUCAUCGUUUCAUCUUAGUGGCAAUUGACUACUUUACCAAAUGGGUUGAAGCAGCAUCUUAUACCAAUGUGACCAAGCAAGUGGUAGCUAAGUUCAUCAAGAACAACAUCAUCUGUCGAUAUGGUGUUCCCAGCAAGAUUAUUACCGACAAUGGUACCAACCUGAACAACAAUGUGGUGCAAGCUCUUUGUGAAGAAUUCAAAAUUGAGCAUCAUAACUCUUCUCCUUAUAGACCUCAGAUGAAUGGUGCAGUUGAGGCCGCCAAUAAGAAUAUCAAGAGAAUUGUCCAGAAGAUGGUAACCACUUACAAGGACUGGCAUGAGAUGUUACCCUAUGCUCUGCAUGGCUACCGUACUACCAUGCGCAGUUCAACCGGGGCAACCCCUUUCUCUCUUGUAUAUGGUAUGGAAGCAGUUCUUCCUUUGGAAGUGGAGAUCCCAUCUCUCCGUGUGAUCAUGGAAGCAAAGUUAUCCGAAGCUGAAUGGUGCCAAAGCCGGUAUGAUCAGUUGAAUUUGAUUGAGGAAAAACGUAUGGAUGCCAUGGCUCGUGGACAGUCAUAUCAAGCAAGAAUGAAGACUGCCUUUGACAAGAAAGUCCAUCCUCGAGAAUUCAAGGUAGGGGAACUUGUAUUGAAAAGGAGGAUAAGCCAGCAACCCGACCCGAGGGGCAAGUGGACGCCUAACUAUGAAGGUCCUUAUGUCGUCAAGAAGGCCUUCUCCGGUGGUGCUUUAAUCCUUACACACAUGGAUGGUGUAGAGCUUCCAAAUCCAGUGAAUGCCGAUAUAGUCAAGAAAUACUUUGCCUAAAAAUAUGAAAAGAACAGCGUGGUAGGUCGAAAACCCGAAAGGGCGGCCUAGGCAAAAAUGCGCUUCCCGGUGGAUCGAAAACCCGAAAGGGCGGUCCAGGCAAAAAUAAGGGACAAAAAAAACAACAAAUAUGAAAAGCUCGCUGAGAUUGUACACAACUCAGGCAAGAAUGAGCGUCUCGAUGAGCCGAAAACCCGGAAGGUCGGUUCAUGCAAAAAUGAGAUUGAAACAAAAGGCAAGUAACUAUAUCUGGCCAACCACCGUCCCCCUUGGGGCAUCUGCAGCUGUUAAUGCCUAUCUUCAUCAAAAGCUUCUGUACUUGUGAAUUCGAAGUUUCUGGGAAAUGUCAUGAUUACUGUGUUCAAUGUACCACCAACCAAUAAAAUUACCAUUUUCCAAGCUUUGUGAAUCCGUGGAGUCGUGCCUUCGGCUGAUCACCACUCUUAUACAUCAAUUUGAGCUUGUGCUUUUGUUUGAAACUCUAUUUUUCUUCUACUUUCAAAGCUGUAUACAAAACAUUCUCUUUCCAUUUUGAUAAUGACAAUGCUUGAAACAAACAUUUUUGAAAAUUGAAAACUUUUUGUCUAUUUUGAAAAGCAAACCCGAGCAACAGGGUACAUUCAAAUGAACAUGCAUGAGCGAGUGUGUGUGGGUGUCUAUCUUCAAUAUAUGUUACAAGCAGGUUCUCCUCCAAGAUAAUCUGUGGUCAAUGGCAAGAAUGAAAAAACAGAAUGAAAAUGCAUGAAAAUGAAUGAGCUCGCUAAGUUGAAAACCCGAAAGGGCGACUUAGGCAAAAAUGAGCACCCCGCUGGAUUGACAACCCGAAAGGGCAGUUCAGGCAAAAAUGGGGCAUUGAAAAGAAUUUAUUUCCCCGGUGGGUCGAAAACCCGAAAGGGCGAUCCAGGCAAAAAUGGGAUGCAAAAAAUGAAUGAUGAAGAUUGAGAAUAUAACAUGCAAAAAGCAUUGACCACAGAUGCGAUGUCCACAACAUGCCCAGCACAACGGCAUUAUCCCCAGUAAAGUCUCUCAAGAUUCUAUCCCCAGCAAGUUGCAUAGCUACCAGCCCUCAGCCUAGGUCCCGAAACGUCUCCCAACGACGUCAUCUCCAAAGAGGAUUUCCAAGAAUGUGUAAUAUAGCUCGAGCCACUACGUGCCCAAUACUCUGAUGUCUUGUCUUCCCCGUGAAGUCGUGCCUACAAAAUGCCAACAGUCAUGCAUUACAAGCAUUCAUACAUGCAUAAUCAUGCAUAUUACGUACCCAUGCAUUUAAUGAAAUUGUUAUAUCAUCCAUGCAUAUUGCAUUUCCAAUGUCAACAUCAGUCUCAAUUCAACACUCAUGUCAGGUUCUCUGUCAAAACCUUGUGAGCCAAUAAUAUCGGUCAAUUUCUACCUUUCAAUUCAAAUCGACGUCAAGUCAAUCUCAAUCUAUAUUUUGUCAACAAACCAAUCCCCAGUGAAUAUGUUUUUGUUCGGUCAAGUUACUAGUUCGCAUCCAAGAACGACUUGCACCCGUUUACUUUUCAAUGUUAUCGGUCGAGUGCCCAGCUCAAUCCAAGAGCAGCUUGUACCUGUCUAUUUGUUUCUGUCCGGUGGAGUAACCAGUUCGCAUCCAAGAACAAGCUCACACCUGUUUAUUUGCCUUGCUUUCGGUCGAGUAACCAGUUCGAAUCCUUAAGAACAACUCGUACCUGCCAAUUUUACAUGUUUUCAGUCGAGUCACCAGUUCGAAUCCGUAAGAACAACUCGUACUUGCCAAUUUUCUCUUUUUCCCAGUCGGGUCACCAGUUCGAAUCCAUAAGAACAACUCGCACUUUCCAGUAUCCCCAAGUGAGUUAUCAGUUCGAAUCCAUAAGAACAACUCAUAUUUGUCCAGUAACCUCUAUCCCCUGUGGAGUGACCAGUUCGAAUCCAUAAGAACAACUCGCAGUUGUCUGUUUGUUUCAUUCCCGGUCAGGUGCCCAGCUCGAUCCAAGAGCAGCUUGUACCUGUCCAACUUGUUUCUAGUUUCCCGUUACUCUGCUAUUCACUAUCUUUGUCAAUGUCUACCAAUCCCGCAAUGGAUACGACAUAUUUUGUUAAUUCCAAUCCCCAUGAGGUCUUGCAUUCAUAAUCCAAACGAUGCAUGGCAUGCAUAUUAUUUGAAAAUGGGUAGGCGUAUUUUUACGUCCAAACACAGUGCAAAUGCUAAUAUUUAAGUAUCUUCGUCCUGUCAAGCCAAAGACUCCGUCUCUUGACUCUCCAGACAAAGAAACUUAAAUAGGGGCAGCUGUUAUACCCUGUUUUUGGACCUAAAAAUACUGGGCCCAAUUUCAUUUCAAACUUUGUCAAUUAUCAAAUUUCAACUGCACAGUUCAAAUUGUCUCUGCCUCGCAGUAUUUUUCAAUCACAAUUUUACCUAUGUUUUUCUUGCAUAAAACCUUUCGAAAUGUCUUUACUUGUCUUGUAAGUCAUUCAAAAGUGUCUCUGAAUCAUUACAUUGCUUUUUCCACAGUUUAUUUCAAAAUUUGCAAAGAAGUCAUACAGAAGGGUAUUUUGGUCAUUUCCCGCAGUGGGACCCAUUUUCAUCCUUGUGACUGUCUCUGAGUCUUUUCAAAUUCAUUUUUAACUUUCCAUCAGUAAACCUUGCUAAUUUCGUUUCAAACUUGCAUCUGAGUCAGUGUCGAGUUAAUUUGAUUCUGUUUAGGUCAUUUUUAGCCCUAGGGGCAUUUUGGUCAUUUCACAUAAAAUUUUGGCAUGGGGAGGUUACUUUGAAGUACCUCAUUUAGGCCAUUGGUUCGUUUUAGUCCGUUUUGUCAAUUUUAUUUUUUUGUUUCGCUUUACGUUUUGUCAGGUUACCAAUUUUAUUUCAAUUUUAUUUUAUUUUGCAUUUUGGUCCUCAAAGAGGUCCAAAAUUGCAUUUCAGUCCAGAAUUCUUUCUAUUUGCAUUUUUAGUCCUUUUUGUUAUUUCCAUUUUAGUCCUUUAAUUUUUCAAUUUUGCAGAAAAGGGCUCAAAGUGUCAAGCUCACGUUUUUUUUCAGUUAAAGUCCAGAUGUCACAAUUCUAUUGGUCCAAGAUCACACAUGUCAGCUAUAAAAGGUGUACAGUGCCACACAGACCCAUUAAUCACACGCCAACUCAUAAACACAAAAUCAAUUUUCUCUUUCUCAGCAAUUAGAUCAAAAACAGAAAAUCUCUCAGAAUUUCUCAAGAACACCAGGAACAAAAACCCUAACCGUUUUCCAGAAACCCUAAUUUUCAUCAGAAUCAACAUUUUUUGCAUCAAUCCUCAGAGAUUCGUGUGAAUCUUCAUCACCGGACUGAAGAUUUUCCUGCAAUUCCAAGUGCGAGCUCGCAUUGAAGCAAGCUCAAGCACUGAUCACAGGAUCUCCUCGCGUGGAUCUAAGAAACAUUGAAGCAAGCUCAAGCACGUAAUCACAGAGAAGCAGAGAAAGAGUCAGAGAAGAUGAAGAAUCUGGACCGGUGAAGCAAACAGAAUCAAAAAUCAUCAAGAACAGAAUCAAGAUUUCCAAAGAUUUCCUCCAUUAAAGGUUUCAACCAAAACCUUAGGUAAAACUCAUAAUCUUUUCUCAGAAAAUAAUAUCACUGUUAAACCUAAAAAUCACGCAAGCAAAACAGAUCCAAAAUUUCCAGAAUUCAAAGCCAAAACCGUAACCGUGAACACAAAACCUAGAUCCAUAAGGAUCUAAGUUUUGAAAGCAAAAACAAACAUCAAAGAGGUGUUAAACAACGAAAUGAUGUAGAUCUUCAAGGAUCUAAACGUUUUCUUUCAAAAAAUCAAAAUCAAAUUCAAAGCCGUACGACAAAUUUCCAGAUCUACAUCGUUUCGAAUUGAAUUUGAAAAAACAAUUGCUGGAUUCGUGUUUAGGGUUAAAGGACGAAUUGAUUGAUGAAGAAAUUUUGAAAUUCUGGAAAUUUUAGGUCACCGGAGUUCUUGAACUCGCCGGAGAAGAUGAAGUUUCCGGCGGACCUUCAAGGUCUCCGCCGUAGCUUCAUCCUCGCCGGCGGCGAGGUUAGUGAGAGGUGAGAGAAGAGAGAGGAACUUAGAGAGAGAAAGGGGAGUGAAAAGUGAAGAAAACCGGAACCUCUUCCCUUAUAUAAGCUAGUGAACCAGACCGGUUCAAGACCGGUCCAAUCCUGUUGAUUCCAGGCCGUUUGAUCUAGGGUUUCAGGAUCCUGGAUCAAUCCUGUGGCUCCUGUGAAUCCGGUUCUUUAGGGUUUUGGGUUGGGCCUUUGGUUUCUUUGGAUCUUUACGUUUUGCUAUUUCUGUGCUAUUCACACCCCUAUUUUUUGCUGCCUGCACCUAUGUCUUGAUUAAAAUUGUGAUAAAAUUCCUAGAAAAAUUCAUACAUGUUUCUUGAUAUUUUCUUAGUGUUUUUAUGACAUUUUUGCACAUUAAGGAUCUAUGAAAAUUUUGUAUAAUCAAUUCAUAGCAUUUUAAUUCUCUUUGAAUUAUUUGUUAUGGAUUCUUCUUCACACAUUUGUCCUUGAUGUGAGAAUAUGUAAUAAAAGCUACUUGAUGUGUUAAUAUGAGAGAUUUGUGCCUAUAAUUUCAUGUUGAUUUGCUGUUUUGAUUUGGUUUAUGAGUUCUUGUUUUUAUGAACAAUAUAUCCAUAUUUUGAAAGAUAUAAAAUGCCAAGUUUACUCUAGAAAAUAUGGCAUGAAAUCAUGCUUGCAUGUUUCCAAUAAUUCCAUGCUAUAACUUGAGAUAAAGAAAACUCUUUCAAAAUUUGUUAAAGCAUGAGAAUUAGAGGCCAAGAAUGCUUUAGGUUUCAUACCUAAGUUUUUAGGGUUUAAUGUCAUUUUGUUAACUUUUUGUGCCAUCUUGCAUGCUUUUAUUUCUUAGUACUUGUUAUGUUUUUUCUUUUCACUAACAAGUUUAUUUCCAUGUUUCAUGCAUCCUGUUAUCAUGGUUUUUGGGUGCCAAGCCAUUAAUUGGACUUGUACCUUUCGACCGUUGAUAUCUCUAUUUUUUCUUGGGAAGGGCAAAAUUGAGAAAAAACCCUUAGAUUCUAAGUUCGGGGGUCGGUUUUACUACGGGAAGGUGUUAGGCACCCGGAGUAACUAUAGUCCUCUAUAGGAGCCGUUUUCCUAAGUCUAUAUUCACGCUUAUUUUUACUUACUUUUGAAGAUGGGAGGUUUAUUUAGUUAAGAAUGAGGGGAGAGAAGUUGUAAGACUUUUUAAUUUUAUUUCGGCUUGGAUGAGUUUUGACUCAUUGCCUACGUACCGUUUUACGGGAUCAAAACCGGCGUAGUUCUUGCUAAAAAAAAGACUUGUUUUUCUUUUGUUUUAAUUGUUUGAUUUUAAGUUUUAAAAAAAGGUUUUGAAGAAGGAGAUUGGGAGGCUUCAUGAGCAUUAGAUUUAGCAAAAAAGGUGAGGUUUGAUUAGUGAUUUAGAAAGAAAGUCUAAAUGAUUAAGAUGAAUUGAAUUUUUCUUAAGAAAAAAGAGAAAGGAAAAAAAAAAUGAAGUGUUGACUUCAUACUUAUUAUGAAAAUUUUUGAAGUGAAGUUCAAUUGCUUUUUUUGAAAAAAAGAUGGAUUUUCCCUAAGUGUUCAAACCUAAGCGCUUAUCUAACCAUACAAUCCUAUGCAUACAUCUAAGGUGAGUGUGUGCGUGUCGGUGCGUCAUAGUGUCCAUAGUCCAUAUUACAAAAAUUGCCUAAAUACAUUCUAUGGCCCCUUUGCCAAGCUACAAACCAAUGAUAACAAAUUACAUUACCAAAUGAAUUAAAACUUGCAAAAAAAACAAAUGCUAGGCUAAAAAGUGGAGGGAAUGCUGAGUUUUUAUGGAGAUUCUGUUAGGUUUCUUCGGAAACACUUGGAUUUGGCUUUUGCUUGUUGAUUUCUGGCUUUGAACCGAAAAUAAAUCGGUGAUUCUUCUUUUCUCACUGAUUCCGUUUCUUCAUCUUCUUCGCCGGCUUAAAACCUUGCUUCUUUCCCUUUUCUUCUCCUUUUUCAACGCCUCUGUGAUCGGUGUUGGAGUUCUUCGCCACUGGGGAAGAAUUCUCACCUUGAAUUGCAGAGGGAUCAACUCAGUGAUGAAGAUUCGCCAUUGAAUCUCUGAGAGUUUGAUGCAAAAAUCAAUGAAUUUGUGUAUGAAUUUUGGUUCUGGAAAUUUCUAGGGUUCUUGUGUUCUUGAUGAACUUGAUGAUUUUUCUGUUUCUGAUCUAACUGAAUGGAGAGAGAAAGUCUCAUUGUGUUUGUUGAGUUGGCGUGUGAUUAAUGGCUUUGAAUCUGACUCACUGUUUAUAUAGUUGACAUGUGUACACUUGAGCCAAUGAAAUUGUGACACGUACCCUGGACUUGCUCACUUGGGCGCUGCUUGCUAUUUUAAGGACCAAUCUGCAAAUUGUGAAAAUGACAAGGACUGGACUGCAAAAUUAAAAAAAACUUGAAAUGAAAUAAAUAAUAAAAAAACAGUUUGGACAAAAAUGCAAUUUUGGGACCUCAAUUGAGGGACCAAAAUGCAAUACAAAAUAAAAUUUGAAUAAAAAACGUAAUUUGACCAAACGUAAAGUGAAACAAAAAUAAAAUUGACAAAACGGACUAAAACGAACCAAUGGCCUAAAUGAGGUACUUCAAAGUAACCUCCCCAUGCCAAAAUUUCAUGUGAAAUGACCAAAAUGCCCCUAGGGCUAAAAAUGACCUAAACUGACUCAAACAGACUUGACACUGACUCAGAUGCAAGUUUGAAAUGAAUUUAAACAGGGUUUACUGACGAAAUGUCAAAAAAUGAAUUUGAAAAGACUCGGAGAUAGUCACAAGGAUGAAGAUGGGUCCCACUGCAGGAAAUGACCAAAAUACCCUUCUGUAUGACCUUUUGCAAAUUUUGAAAUAAACUGUAGAAAAAGCAAUGUAAUGAUUCAGAGGCACUUUUGAAUGACUUACAAGACAAGUAAAGACAUUUUGAAAGGUUUUAUGCAAGAAAAACAUAGGUAAAAUUGUGAUUGAAAAUACUGCGAAGCAGAGACAAUUUGAACUGUGCAGUUGAAAUUUGAUAAUUGACAAAGUUUGAAAUGAAAUUGGGCCCAGUAUUUUUAGGUCCAAAAACAGGGUAUAACAGCUGCCCCUAUUUAAGUUUCUUUGUCUGGAGAGUCAAGAGACGGAGUCUUUGGCUUGACAGGACGAAGAUACUUAAAUAUUAGCAUUUGCACUGUGUUUGGACGUAAAAAUACGCCUACCUAUUUUCAAAUAAUAUGCAUGCCAUGCGUCAUUUGGACUAUGAAUGCAAGACCUCAGGGGGAUUGGAAUUAACAAAAUAUGUCGUAUCCAUUGCGGGAUUGGUAGACAUUGACAAAGAUAGUGAAUAGCAGAGUAACGGGAAACUAGAAACAAGUUGGACAGGUACAAGCUGUUCUUGGAUUCAAACUAGCCACUUGACCGGGGAUGAAACAAACAGACAACUGCGAGUUGUUCUUAUGGAUUCGAACUGGUCACUUCACAGGGGAUAGAGGUUACUGGACAAACAUGAGUUGUUCUUAUGAAUUCGAACUGAUAACUCACUUGGGGAUGUUGGAAAGUGCGAGUUGUUCUUAUGGAUUCGAACUGGUGACCCGACUGGGGAAAUUGACAAGUACGAGUUGUUCUUAUGGAUUCGAACUGGUCACUCGACCGAAAGCAAAGGCAAAUAAACAGGUGUGAGCUUGUUCUUGGAUGCGAACUGGUUACUCCACCGGACAGAAAUAGAUAGACAGGUACAAGCUGCUCUUGGAUUGAGCUAGCCACUUGACCAAACGGAAACAUAUUGACAGGUACGAGCUGCUCUUGGAUUGAGCUGGACACUCGACCGAUAACAUAAGCAAAUUGAUAGGUACAAGCUGUUCUUGGACUUGAACUAGCCACUUGACCAAACAGAAACAUAUUCACUGGGGAUUGAGUUUUGUUUGACGAAAUAUAGAUUGAGAUUGACUUGGCGUCGAUUUGGUUUGAAAGGUAGAAAUUGAUUGAUAUUAUUGGAUCACAAGGCUUUGACAGAGAACCUGACAUGAGUAUUGAAUUGAGACUGAUGUUGACAUUGGAAAUGCAAUAUGCAUGGAUGAUAUAACAGUUCCAUUAAAUGCAUGGGCACGUAAUAUGCAUGAUUAUGCAUGUAUGAAUGCUUGUAAUGCAUGACUGUUGGCAUUUUGUAGGCACGACUUCACGGGGAAGACAAGACAUCAGAGUAUUGGGCACGUAGUGGCUCGUGCUAUAUUACACAUUCUUGGAAAUCCUCUUUGGAGAUGACGUCGUUGGGAGACGUAUCGGAACCAUGGCUGAGGGCAGGUAGCUAUGCAACUUGCUGGGGAUAGAAUCUCGAGAGACUUUACUGGGGAUAAUGCCGUUGUGCUGGGCAUGUUGUGGACAUCGCAUCUGUGGUCAAUGCUUUUUGCAUGCUAUUUUCUCAUUCUCAUUUUUCGCAUCCCAUUUUUGCCUGGAUCGCCCUUUCGGGUUUUCGAUCCACCGGGGAAAUAGAUUCUUUUCAAUGCCCCAUUUUUGCCUGAACUGCCCUUUCGGGUUGUCAAUCCAGCGGGGUGCUCAUUUUUGCCUAAGCCGCCCUUCCGGGUUUUCAACUUAGCGAGCCUUUUCAUUUUCAUGCAUUUUCAUUCUGUUUUUUCAUUCUUGCCAUUGACCACAGAUUAUCUUGGAGGAGAACCUGCUUGUAACAUAUAUUGAAAUAGACAUUAACAUACUCUCGCUCAUGCAUGUUUCAUUUGAACGUACCCUGUUGCUCAGGUUUGCUUUUCAAAACAGACAAAAAGUUUUCAAUUUUCAAAAUGUUUGUUUCAAGCAUUGUCAUUAUCAAAAUAGAAAGAAAAUGUUUUGUAUAUAGCUUUGAAAGUAAAAAGAAAAAUAGAGUUUCAAACAACAGCACAAGCUCAAUUUGAUGUAUAAGAGUGGUGGUCAGCCGAAGGCAUGACUCCACGGAUUCACAAAGCUUGGAAAAUGGUAAUUUUUAUUGGUUGGUGGUACAUUGAACACGGUAACCACUACAGUUCUUAGAAACUUUGAAUUCACAAGUACAGAAGCUUUUGAUGAAGAUAGGCAUUAACAGCUGCAGAUGCCCCAAGGGGGACGGUGGUUGGCCAGAUAUAGUUACUUGCCUUUUGUUUCAAUCUCAUUUUUGCAUGAACCGCCCUUCCGGGUUUUCGGCUCAUCGAGACGCUCAUUCUUGCCUGAGUUGCGUACAAUCUCAGCGAGCUUUUCAUAUUUGUUUUUUUUUUUUUUUUUUUUUGUCCCUUAUUUUUGCCUGGACCGCCCUUUCGGGUUUUCGAUCCAUCGGGAAGCGCAUUUUUGCCUAGGCCGCCCUUUCGGGUUUUCGACCUACCACGCUGUUCUUUUCACAUUUCUAGGCAAAGUAUUUCUUGACUAUAUCGGCAUUCACUGGAUUUGGAAGCUCUACACCAUCCAUGUGUGUAAGGAUUAAAGCACCACCGGAGAAGGCCUUCUUGACAACAUAAGGACCUUCAUAGUUAGGCGUCCACUUGCCCCUUGGGUCGGGUUGCUGGCUUAUCCUCCUUUUCAAUACAAGUUCCCCUACCUUGAAUUCUCGAGGAUGGACUUUCUUGUCAAAAGCAGUCUUCAUUCUUGCUUGAUAUGACUGUCCACGAGCCAUGGCAUCCAUACGUUUUCCCUCAAUCAAAUUCAACUGAUCAUACCGGCUUUGGCACCAUUCAGCCUCAGAUAACUUUGCUUCCAUUAUCACACGGAGAGAUGGGAUCUCCACUUCCAAAGGAAGAACUGCUUCCAUACCAUAUACAAGAGAGAAAGGGGUUGCCCCGGUUGAACUGCGCACGGUAGUGCGGUAGCCAUGCAGAGCAUAGGGUAACAUCUCAUGCCAGUCCUUGUAAGUGGUUACCAUCUUCUGGACAAUUCUCUUGAUAUUCUUAUUGGCGGCCUCAACUGCACCAUUCAUCUGAGGUCUAUAGGGAGAAGAGUUAUGAUGCUCAAUUUUGAAUUCUUCACAAAGAACUUGCACCACAUUAUUGUUCAGGUUGGUACCAUUGUCGGUAAUAAUCUUGCUGGGAACACCAUAUCGACAGAUGAUGUUGUUCUUGAUGAACUUAGCUACCACUUGCUUGGUCACAUUGGUAUAAGAUGCUGCUUCAACCCAUUUGGUAAAGUAGUCAAUUGCCACUAAGAUGAAACGAUGACCAUUUGAAGCCUUCGGUUCAAUUCUUCCAAUCAUGUCGAUGCCCCACAUCGAGAACGGCCAUGGGGAUGACAUAACAUUGAGAGCGUGCGGAGGCACAUGAAUCUUAUCAGCAUAGAUUUGACAUUUGUGGCAUUUUCUGGCGUACUGGUAGCAAUCAUGCUCCAUAGUCAUCCAGUAGUAACCUGCCCGUAGCAACUUUCUUGACAUAGUAUGCCCUGUAGCAUGGGUCCCGAAGGUACCGUCAUGUACAUCAUGCAUUAACUGCUCUGCCUCAUGUUCAUCAACACAUCUUAACAAUACCAUGUCAUAGUUUCUCUUGUACAGAAUAUCUCCAUCUAACAGGAAUCUACUGGCCAAUCUUCUCAAGGUCUUCUUGUCUUGUUUGGAAGCACCCGGCGGAUACUCACGGCUCAGCAAGAACCGUUUGAUGUCGUAGUACCAGGGUUUAUAGUCAACCACAUUUUCGCCAGCCUGAUCGAUCACAUCCCCAAUAGCAAACACAUGGGAAGGUCUUUCAAGGCGUUGCACUUUGAUUACUGGCACAUCAUUCCAAUGGUUUACUCGGAACAUGGAAGAUAGAGUAGCAAGAGCAUCCGCCAUUUGGUUCUCAUCACGAGGAAUAUGAUGCAGCUCAACCUUUGUAAAAUAUGUCAGAAGACGUCUCGCAUAAUCACGAUAAGGAAUCAACUUAGCAUGGUGGGUCUCCCAUUCACCCUUUAUCUGAUUGAUGACGAGCGCAGAAUCUCCAUAGAUGUCGAGGUGUUUGAUUCUCAUGUCAAUUGCUUCCUCGAUCCCGAAGAUACAUGCUUCAUACUCAGCCAUGUUGUUGGUACAUUCGAACAGAAUUCGGGCGGUAAAGGGAAUGUGAUGCCCUUGCGGGGAUACAAUGACUGCCCCAAUUCCUUUGCCAUAAGCAUUGACAGCACCAUCAAAGACUAAACCCCACUUGCUAUUGGGAUCUGGACCUUCAUUAAUCAACGGUUCGUCGCAGUCUUUGGAUUUCAAAUACAUGAUCUCUUCAUCAGGGAAAUCGAAUUCAAUUGGUUGGUAAUCAUCAAGAGGUUGAUAAGCAAGGUGAUUGGCAAGAAUGCUGCCUUUGAUUGCCUUUUGAGUUUUGAACACAAUAUCAUAUUCAGACAAAAGCAUCUGCCAGCGUGCGAUCUUCCCAGUAACGGCCGCUUUCUCAAAGAUAUACUUUAUCGGAUCCAUUCUGGAUAUCAACCAAGUUGUAUGAUUCACCAAAUAAUGGCGCAGGCGUUUGGCAGCCCAAGCUAAAGCACAACAAGUCUUUUCAAGCAUUGUAUAUCGAGUUUCACAAUCGGUGAACUUCUUACUUAGAUAGUAGAUAGCAUGCUCUUUCUUUCCGGUUUCAUCUUGUUGACCAAGUACACAUCCCAUGGAUUCAUCAAAUACUGCCAAAUACAUAAUCAAAGGCCUUCCUUCCACGGGUGGGACAAGGAUAGGUGGUUCCAGCAGGUAAUUCUUGAUGCUAUCAAAAGCUUCUUGGCAUUCAUCAUUCCAUACAACAGGCUGGUUCUUUCUAAGUAGCUUGAAAAUCGGCCCGCAGGUUGCAGUCAUGUGAGAUAUGAAUCGGGAGAUGUAAUUCAAACGUCCCAAGAAACCUCUGACUUGCUUCUCUGUCUGUGGAGCUGGCAUUUCUCGGAUGGCCCGGACUUUAUCAGGAUCGACUUCAAUGCCCUUUUGGCUGACAAUGAAGCCUAAUAACUUUCCGGACCUGACACUGAAUGUACAUUUGUUGGGAUUCAAUCGCAGCUUGUAUUUUCUCAACCUUUCAAACAUCUUUGUUAAAUAUUCAACAUGCUGCUCCUCAUCUGCUGACUUCACAAUCAUGUCAUCCACAUAUACCUCAACUUCUUUGUGAAUCAUGUCAUGAAACAGAGUGGUCAUUCCCCUUUGGUAGGUAGCACCGGCAUUGAUUAGGCCGAACGGCAUCACUUUGUAACAGAAAGUACCCCAUGGAGUGAUAAAAGAUGUCUUUUCUCUAUCUUCAGGGGACAUUUUGAUCUGAUUGUAACCGGAGAAACCGUCCAUGAAGGAGAACACCUUAGAUUGAGCAGUAUUAUCAACAAUCACAUCAAUAUGAGGUAAUGGAAAGUUGUCUUUUGGACUGGCUUUGUUCAAGUCCCUGAAGUCAACACACAUCCGGACUUUACCAUCCUUCUUUGGCACAGGCACAAUAUUGGCAACCCAUUCGGGAUACUCAACUGUCAUGAGGAAACCCGCAUCGAUCUGCUUUUGAACUUCAUUCUUGAUCUUGAGGGCCAUGUCAGGAUGAGUCCUCCUCAAUUUCUGCCUGACGGGAGGACAUUCAGGCUUGGUAGGGAUCCGAUGCUCCACGAUCAUAGGGUCUAGACCUGGCAUAUCUUCAUAGGACCAUGCAAAAAUAUCCGGAUAUUCCCGGAGGAGUUGGAUGAUCUUCUGUUUAACCCCUUCCUCUAGAGUAGCACCAAUCUUGAUUUCUCGCUUGUUUUCCUCGGUACCUAUGUUGAUAAGCUCAAUCUCUUCUUGGUGAGGCUGAAUGGCUUUCUUUUCUUGCUCAAGUAACCGAGUGAUCUCAUACGGUAUGUCAUCACCUUCCUCAUCUUCGGCUUCAUAUACAGGGAAAUCAAAACUUGGAGGAACCGUAGGAUUACUGUGUUCAACGGGUUUAUUAUGGUUCAACCUGCAUAUAAUGAUUGGAUGAUUUUAGAAAGAGCUUUUUUUUUUCAUGCAGAUUUUUGAAACUAAUAAGAAAAUACAGACGUUUUGGUUUUUUCUGGCAUUACCAUUGUUUCCAAGGGAAAAAGCACUAAAAGAAAAGUAGUCGUGGAAGAAACGACAAAAUUUUAUUAACCAACGGCAAUGCCGAAACAAACAUGCCCUUACAGAAAAUAUCACUCUCGCUUUGGGCAGAGCGAGAGGAUUGUUAUUUUGAAAACAAAGCACUAAAGCAACAAGACACAUUACUCAGAAACAUGCAUGAUUGAAGGAAUGUCAAUGGCAUCCCAAUUCGUCGCAAUGCCUCCUGGUGUAACAAAUACAGGCCUGAGACCAGAUCCAGUGGCUUCUUCAGAGAUAACAUUAACAAACCCUGCACUGUGGAAGACUCCUGAGGAAACCCUUGACGAUGGAGAGAACCCGAGACCUUCUUUACGCUUGUUCUCACAGAGCUGUAUCACCUUGCCCCAGCCGGCAGUCUGACCUUCUUGGAUGGCUCUCUGAGCAUCUUUCAAUGAAGCCAUAGCAGCCCCAGCUUCCUUAGACUCUGCACCUUCGAUGGUCAAACCUUGGAAAGCAGUCCCUUCAGCAGACCCUGCUUCAACACAAGAAAAAGAAGACAACUGGCUGACUAAGUAUGCUUCUUCACCAUGGAUUGUAACGAGUUUUCCAUUCUUCACAAAUUUCAACUUCUGAUGUAAGGUGGAAGUAACCGCACCUGCAUCGUGUAUCCACGGUCUUCCCAGCAGGCAACUGUAGGAUGCAUUAAUGUCCAUCACUUGGAAGGUAACCAAGAAAUUCUCAGGGCCAAUAGUUAUCGGCAAGUCUAUCUCCCCCAGCACAUUCUUUCGAGAUCCGUCAAAAGCUUUGACCAAGAAAGUACUUCUCCUCAACGGGGUCCCACGGUAGCUCAACUGAUCUAGAGUUGUCUUGGGCAUUACAUUGAGAGAGGAACCGGUAUCUACCAACACAUUUGAUAUCAUGUCUGAUUUACAAUUCACCGAGAUGUGCAAAGCCAGAUUGUGACUCCUUCCCACUUCCGGCAACUCUUCUUCACUAAACCAGAGGUUGUUACAAGCAGUAAUAUUUCCCACUAUACCACCGAAACGAUCUACCGAGACUUCGUGGUCAACAUAUGCCUGCUCCAGCACUUUCAACAAGGUGUUCCUGUGAGCCUCAGAGCUCAAGAGUAGCGACAAGACAGAUAUCUUCGAAGGAGUUUGCAGCAAUUGAUCAACGAUCUUGUAGUCGCUCCUCUUUAUUAUUCUCAGAAUCUCGUCUAAAUUUGAAUCCUCUAUAGAUUUGCCUGGCUGAUUCACAUCUGUAGCAAUGGGUGAAACAACGGUUGGAGUUGCUUCUUUAACUGGUGGAGUAAUUGGCGUAGCUACCUUCUUCUGAAAUAACGGCGGACGAACCUUCCCGCUUCUCAGCGCUGCAGAAGUCCCUUCGGCAAUAUUGCUUACUGUGGCAAAGGAGGCUAGAGGCACCUCUACUCCAUUUUCUAUCAUAGUGGCAUUGUACUUGUAUGGCACUGCCUUGUCCGAAGCAUAAGGAAUUGGUCCUGGCAACCUUAUUACCAAAGGCUCAGCAUUCUUCUUCAAAGGUACACUCUUGACAGGCGGAUCGUGAAAAACCGGCACAACCACGCAAACAUCACUGACAGUCAGAAGAUUAUCAUUCAUCAAGCUUUGGAUGUCGUCUUGAACAGUAUAGCAGCCCAAAGGAUCACAGAGGCAUCCUAGACACUUGGCAUGAUCAUGGCUGAACAGAGAAGCUUUGCACAGCUUGAUGUGCAGAGGCACCAGAGGAGUAGCAACAUUGCGGACAUCAAGUCUAGGAGCUUCCUCACACACUUCGAUCAUAUUCACAGCGGCAUGAUUUGGUAGUGGAUUGUCAAGGACAUGUGGAACAUUGUUCUCAAAAGUCAGCUUUCCCUGAUCAAUGAGCUUCUUCACGAUAUACUUCAAAGCAUAACACCCCUCGACAUCAUGACCUAAAGCACCUUGAUGAAAGUCACAUUUGAGAUCAGACCUGAACCUUGGAGGCAACGGAUCAGGUGGGGGCUUACCCUGUCUAGUUGUACAAUGUCCUCUCUGGAGUAGAGUUGGAAGCAACUCAGCAUACAACAUUGGUAUAGGAGGAAAAGUUGGCCUAGUAUACUGCUGCUGCUGCUGUUGUUGUUGUUGUUGAACCGGCAACUGUUGUUUCAUCUGUUGGGCAAUUGCAUUGACGGGCACUUGAGGCUGGCCCGGUGGCAAAGGGUACUGAUGAUAAAACGGUGGGAAGAACGGAUGCUGAGAAUACGGCAUAUAUGGGUAUGACGGAGGCAUUUGAGCUGCAUUGAUAGGAGCAACGGUAGCCAUAGAUUGACCGGCUGCAGCUGACACCAUUCCCACUUCCGUUUCUUUCUUCUUGUGGUGUCCAUUACCAUACCUCUUCGAUGCACUCGUAGAAGAUUCAGCUUUCUCAAACACAAUGAUCCCAUCUCUGACUGCUUCCUCAAGACGGGUUCCCAUGGUGACCAUCUCCGAAAAGUUGUUCGGGGCAGCAAUGAUCAUUCUCUCAACAUAAUCUUUCUUCAAGGUCUUUAAGAACGUCUGGGUCAUUUCUUCUUCAUCUAAAGCAGGAGUGAUACGGGCAGCUGCCCCUCUCCACCUUUGCGCAUAUUCACGGAAACUUUCCUCCUUUUUCUGAGAUAGGGACCUGAGAAACUCCCUAUUCGGCUUCAAACGAGUGUUAAACCCGUAGUGGCUCCUGAAAGCGGUGGCCAGCUCAUCAAAAGUAUGGACAUCGUCUUUGCUCAGACUAGUAUACCACUCCGCAGCAUCUUCCAUCAGACUGUCUUGGAAGUAAUGGAUCAUAAGGGAAUCAUUGUCCUUGUAGUUGCCCAUUUUCCGGACGUAUUUGACAAUAUGAUUUUGAGGACAAGUCAGCCCGUUAUACUUGUCGAACUCCGGGACUUUGAACUUUUUUGGAACAUCUACCUUCGAUACCAAGCAGAGGUCCUGGGUUUUAAUGGAGUCUCCAUUUCCCCUGUUGGCCUUAAUUUCCCGUCGGAGCUCUUUGGCAAGUUCUUCCAUUCUCUCUUCCAUAGUUCCGGUUGUGGUAAUACUCCCGUGGUGUGCGUUGGCAUGGACAAAUAGAGGCACCGCAUUCACAAUGGGCUCGGUAACAGUUGUUGCAGCUUGAGUCAAGGCGGUACUAAUAGGAGUUAAGUUUGCCCCUGGGAUUGGGCCACUGUUGGUAGUACCAGAGGUCCCUGCCCCUGUGUUAGCAGUAUAGUACAGCGGAAGUCCGUAAGGAUACCCGGAUGGCAUGAUAGAGCGGGGAUCAGUUGUUACAGUAGGAGUCACAUUUGCAGCUGUAGAAACUACAGGAACUGGUUGUUCCUGAGCAGCCAACAGAGCAGUCAUAGCAUCAUGAGCUUUGGCCAAUUCCUCCCUUAGAGAUGCCAAUUCGGUACGAAGCUGUGUGUUCUCUUCUUCCAUAGCCCUUUUCUUUCUUCUGUAUUCUCUGGUUCGAUCAAUUCUAUCAGGUUCGUAAACUCUCUGAGCACGAGCCACUUUUCACACUGCGGCAGAGAAACCAGGAGGUGGUAAGCACUUGGAAGCCUUUGUGACCAAUGCAUGAUGCAUAUGAUGCAUGAUGUGCAAAUGCAAAUGCAAAAGACUUAUUUUCUCAUCGAAGGAUUUUUAAACAAAUUAGAAAUCUUGCAAAUAAACAAAACUACAUAGUAUUCUCAACAGAAAGACUUUGAAAUAAACAUAUGAAGCCCUCAAGCAUAGGAAGCAGUCGGAAGAUCAUCGGACUCGGAAUCUGAAUCACAGUAUCUGGCAAAGAAGUCUCGUCGUCCUCUGGCUCUCUUGGAAUCCCUCAUAAGCAGCUCGUCUUUCUCUUCCAAUUCCCUCCGGGCCUUAGCUAGCUCUUUCUUCAACAUUAAAUUCUCAUGAGUCUUCUGCUCAUCUCUACCAUCCAAAGUCAUGAUUAGAUUCUCGGCUUGAUUAUACCGAGCUUUCCACACUUGCUUCUCACGACUCUCCAUAGCUAGAUGCUCCUGAUACAUAUCCUGAGUCGCGGGGAGUAGAGGUAGAGGCAUAGAUGGAGUAGACGAAGACACGUAUCUCAUAGCUGGAUAAGGCAUACCAAUCUCCUCAGCUCGAUCUAUCACCCACUGAGUAUAGGCCUCAUGAGCAACACCGGAUCUCACACCUAGAUGCUUCACACUCUUCCUUCGAACCUUGGACCAAGCAUCCAUGAAAGCUUUCCUUUGUCCGGUAGGAGCAUUCGCAUAGAAGAAGAACUCUGGAGAUGUAGCAAGAUUGAUGGGCUUCGACUUCAUAGGGAAACCAAACUGUCUCAUAGCAAGCUCGGGAUUGUAGUUAAUUCCUCCCCGAGUACCAAGAAGAGGUACAUUGAGAAAGUCUCCACAACCCAUAAUGAUUUCCUUCACUUGAGCGGCAGGAGUGAGCCAGACGACCUCAUUAGGAGUGAGGGCCAUAAUCCGCUGCGAGUAGGACCAGUUCUCCGAGUUAUCAUGGAAGGAACUCGGAAGGUGCGAAAUAAACCACCUAUACAAAAGAGAUGUGCAGCAAAGAAUAUACCCACGGCCCUUGAGAGUCCUGUCAUGAAUGGCGUGGUAAGUAUCCGCUAGCAAAGUAGGAACCGGGUUCUUGGAAUGAAAGAUCUCGAUAGCAUUCAUGUCCACGAAGUUGUCGAGGUUCGGAAAGAGAAUGAGCCCGUAGAUAAGCAAAGCAAGAAUAGCCUCAAGUGUAUCCUGACGAGUAGUACCGAGAUUAGCCUGAUCAAGAAGAUACUUCGAAGUAAACCCCCGGAUGUGAGACUUGGUAAUAAGAUGGUUGGAGACGUCGGAAGUCUUGAGGUAGAGAUCCUUAGCAAUAACCAGAGGAGUAAGAGGAGUCCCAGGACCGGUGAAAGGCGUCUUCUCGGCUAUAGGUAAACCCACUAGAUUGGAGUAAGCCUCAAGAGUAGGAACCAACUGGAAGUCCGGGAAAGUGAAGCAACGGAAGCUCGGAUCAUAAAAUUGCACCAGAGUGUGCACUAGCUUCUCGUCCACAUCGGUUCGGAGCAAAGUAAGCAAUCCCCCAUACCGGAGUCGGAACCCUGUUUGGCUCUUGACCUUGAGCGCCAACUCUCUCAAACUAACCAAAUCCACUUCCUUGAACUUGUAGCACUUAGUCUUCUUCAUACCUGUGAUUAUUUACAAAAAAUUUCCAUUUGUUUAAGUCCUUCGAUGAAUGCAUGAAAAAUGUUUAUGCAUGAAUGCAUGUAUGCAUGAUUGUGUUGUUUAGUUACAAUGUGGGUUGAGAUUCAAAGUAACAAGGCCACGGAUGGACACGGUGUCCGGUGAACUAAGGCUUUGGAUAGUAGUAACCAAGGUUCUAACACAGUUCCCAAACUGCAACCUCUCUCACAUAUAUCAUGGUAGUACAGGACGACACCCGUUCCAUGUUUAUUUGUGAGAAGGUCUAGCUUGAGUGUAGUAUCGCGUGACGACUAAAGUUUGAGACAACACUCAAUUUAGCCACCGCACUACGUCCUAAGAAGGCUAGGAUGGGUUUGGUAACUACGGUUCAUAGCUUCGUCGAACAAUUGAAAGUGAAGUGCCUAAGCAUGACAACACACGCCGACAAUACCACCUUCAAAAUGCCUCAGCUAUGUGAGAUUGAUCGCAUAAUCCAAUACACGAGGCAACCCCCGGAUCGAAUUGUCGAUUAUAUCUCUACCUAAACAUAAGUUCACUCAGCCCGGGUAUAGGACUUUUGAUAUUCUCACCCCACACGUCAAAUGAAAAUAAACAAGUAUUCACAUGUGUAGGCAAUAAAAUAAAGCAUAAAUAUACACUAAGGAAAACUAGGCGCGACCCGCUAAAAAGAAUUUCCCCAGUGAAGUCGCCAUUUCUGUUAUCAUGGUUUUUGGGUGCCAAGCCAUUAAUUGGACUUGUACCUUUCGACCGUUGAUAUCUCUAUUUUUUCUUGGGAAGGGCAAAAUUGAGAAAAAACCCUUAGAUUCUAAGUUCGGGGGUCGGUUUUACUACGGGAAGGUGUUAGGCACCCGGAGUAACUAUAGUCCUCUAUAGGAGCCGUUUUCCUAAGUCUAUAUUCACGCUUAUUUUUACUUACUUUUGAAGAUGGGAGGUUUAUUUAGUUAAGAAUGAGGGGAGAGAAGUUGUAAGACUUUUUAAUUUUAUUUCGGCUUGGAUGAGUUUUGACUCAUUGCCUACGUACCGUUUUACGGGAUCAAAACCGGCGUAGUUCUUGCUAAAAAAAAGACUUGUUUUUCUUUUGUUUUAAUUGUUUGAUUUUAAGUUUUAAAAAAAGGUUUUGAAGAAGGAGAUUGGGAGGCUUCAUGAGCAUUAGAUUUAGCAAAAAAGGUGAGGUUUGAUUAGUGAUUUAGAAAGAAAGUCUAAAUGAUUAAGAUGAAUUGAAUUUUUCUUAAGAAAAAAGAGAAAGGAAAAAAAAAAUGAAGUGUUGACUUCAUACUUAUUAUGAAAAUUUUUGAAGUGAAGUUCAAUUGCUUUUUUUGAAAAAAAGAUGGAUUUUCCCUAAGUGUUCAAACCUAAGCGCUUAUCUAACCAUACAAUCCUAUGCAUACAUCUAAGGUGAGUGUGUGCGUGUCGGUGCGUCAUAGUGUCCAUAGUCCAUAUUACAAAAAUUGCCUAAAUACAUUCUAUGGCCCCUUUGCCAAGCUACAAACCAAUGAUAACAAAUUACAUUACCAAAUGAAUUAAAACUUGCAAAAAAAACAAAUGCUAGGCUAAAAAGUGGAGGGAAUGCUGAGUUUUUAUGGAGAUUCUGUUAGGUUUCUUCGGAAACACUUGGAUUUGGCUUUUGCUUGUUGAUUUCUGGCUUUGAACCGAAAAUAAAUCGGUGAUUCUUCUUUUCUCACUGAUUCCGUUUCUUCAUCUUCUUCGCCGGCUUAAAACCUUGCUUCUUUCCCUUUUCUUCUCCUUUUUCAACGCCUCUGUGAUCGGUGUUGGAGUUCUUCGCCACUGGGGAAGAAUUCUCACCUUGAAUUGCAGAGGGAUCAACUCAGUGAUGAAGAUUCGCCAUUGAAUCUCUGAGAGUUUGAUGCAAAAAUCAAUGAAUUUGUGUAUGAAUUUUGGUUCUGGAAAUUUCUAGGGUUCUUGUGUUCUUGAUGAACUUGAUGAUUUUUCUGUUUCUGAUCUAACUGAAUGGAGAGAGAAAGUCUCAUUGUGUUUGUUGAGUUGGCGUGUGAUUAAUGGCUUUGAAUCUGACUCACUGUUUAUAUAGUUGACAUGUGUACACUUGAGCCAAUGAAAUUGUGACACGUACCCUGGACUUGCUCACUUGGGCGCUGCUUGCUAUUUUAAGGACCAAUCUGCAAAUUGUGAAAAUGACAAGGACUGGACUGCAAAAUUAAAAAAAACUUGAAAUGAAAUAAAUAAUAAAAAAACAGUUUGGACAAAAAUGCAAUUUUGGGACCUCAAUUGAGGGACCAAAAUGCAAUACAAAAUAAAAUUUGAAUAAAAAACGUAAUUUGACCAAACGUAAAGUGAAACAAAAAUAAAAUUGACAAAACGGACUAAAACGAACCAAUGGCCUAAAUGAGGUACUUCAAAGUAACCUCCCCAUGCCAAAAUUUCAUGUGAAAUGACCAAAAUGCCCCUAGGGCUAAAAAUGACCUAAACUGACUCAAACAGACUUGACACUGACUUAGAUGCAAGUUUGAAAUGAAUUUAAACAGGGUUUACUGACGAAAUGUCAAAAAAUGAAUUUGAAAAGACUCGGAGAUAGUCACAAGGAUAAAGAUGGGUCCCACUGCAGGAAAUGACCAAAAUACCCUUCUGUAUGACCUUUUGCAAAUUUUGAAAUAAACUGUAGAAAAAGCAAUGUAAUGAUUCAGAGGCACUUUUGAAUGACUUACAAGACAAGUAAAGACAUUUUGAAAGGUUUUAUGCAAGAAAAACAUAGGUAAAAUUGUGAUUGAAAAUACUGCGAAGCAGAGACAAUUUGAACUGUGCAGUUGAAAUUUGAUAAUUGACAAAGUUUAAAAUGAAAUUGGGCCCAGUAUUUUUAGGUCCAAAAACAGGGUAUAACACAUCCCAUUUAGCAUUCCCUCCACUUUCUUUAGCCUAGCCUUUAUCUUUUGCAAGUUUUAAUUCAUUUGGUAAUGUAAUUUGUUAUCAUUGGUUUGUAGCUUGGCAAAGGGGCCAUAGAAUGUAUUUAGGCAAUUUUUGUAAUAUGGACUAUGGACACUAUGAUGCACCGACACGCACACACUCACCUUAGAUGUAUGCAUAGGAUUGUAUGGUUAAAUAAGCGUUUAGGUUUUAAACACUUAGAGAAAAUCCAUCUUUUUUUCAAAAAAAAAUAAUUGAACUUCACUUCAAAAACUUUCCUAAUAAGUAUGAAGUCAACACUUCAUUUUUUUCCUUUCUUUUUUUCUUAAGAAAAAUUCAAUUCAUCUUAAUCAUUUAGACUUUCUUUCUAAUCACUAAUCAAACCUCACUUUUUGCUAAAUCUAAUGCUCAUGAAGCCUCCCAAUCUCCUUCUUCAAAACCUUUUUUCUCAAAACUUAAAAUUAAACAAUUAGAACAAAAAACAAGUCUUUUUAGCAAGAACUACGCCGGUUUUGAUCCCGUAAAACGGUACGUAGGCAAUGAGUCAAAACUCAUCCAAGCCGAAAUAAAAUCCAAUUCUACUUCUUCUCACCCCCAUUCUUCACUAAUCAUACUUUCUUUUUUACAAAUAAGCAAUAAAACUAAAGCGUAGAAAUAAACUUAGGAAAGCGGUUCUUAUGGAGUACCAUAAUCGCUCCGGGUGCCUAACACCUUCCCGUAGCGAAAACGACCCCCGAACUUAGAAUCUAAGGGUUUUUCUCAAUUUUGCCCUUCCCAAGAAAAAAUAGAGAAUAUCAACGGUCAAAAGGUUCAAGUCCAAUUAAUGGCUUGGCACCCAAAAACCAUGAUAACAAUAAGAAACUGAAAUAGUGUAUUUUGUUUAUAACCCUCCGUCCCAUAAAAACCGAGCCAUUUGCAAAAAAAUAUUGUCUCAGAAAAAUUGACUCAUUUCACUUUUCAAUACAAUAUUAAUUACUUUUUUUUUCCUUUCAAUUAUAACACUAAUUAAUAUUACUUUCACCACUCCCAAUUUAAUAUAUUCUAAUUUGCAUUUAUGAUAAAGAAGAAUGCACCAAUAGUUACUCAAAACCAUUUUUCUCUCUCUUUUUACUUAUACAUAUUUUCUUAAUAAGUGUGAAAUGAGCUAAGAGCUGAGCUCGAGCUCAGUUAAAAUGGGACGGAGGAGGAAUGUAAUUCAAAGUAACUCAAUUUUAUGCUAUUUAUUUAUUUAUGCUGAAGCCUCAUUAUAAUAGUAUAUAGUGAUAUGUGUGAGAAGCAUAGGAAAAGUACAUAUGGUGAUGAAUGAUGGAACAAGCUUAAAGUCAUAAUUAUUAUUGUUCAAUCAUAAAUAGAUGGUCCCCCAAUUAGAAAAGUAUUUAUGAUCCCCCAUUUUAAAAUGACCCUCGUCCUUUUUUAGAAUUUUAAUCUUAAUAAUGGUGAUAUAUCAUAAUUAAAUGGAUGCAUUUAGGAAGUUUAUAAAUAAUUUUAUAGGUAUUGAUGAUUUUACAUUAUCGGAUCGUAUGACACAUCAUUUAAAAUAUGUCAUGUUAUAGUUUUUUAGUUUAAAAAUAUGAAGAAAAAGAUAUGUCACGUCAGUACUUUUGAGUCCAAAAAUAUAAAAAUAGGCCAAAACGAAUUAUUCUAAAAUUUGGGACAAAUUUCAUGAAAAUAAAGACCUAGAGUGUAGUUAAGACUUAUAACUAUUUUAAACAUUCCUUAAAAAAACUAAUCUAUAAAAUGACAUACGAUUAAUUAUAAAUAUGAUUGACAUAUACUCUAAAAAAGGAAAUGUUUGCAUAUGGUAUUUUAAACACCGUUCUCGUGAACUUAACUCAAUUGAUACGGACAAUGCUUAAUAUGUGCAAGGUCUAGGGUUUUAACCUUGAUCACAAAAAAAACACCAAUAUUUUUUUUCGGGGAUAUUAAACACCAAUAUUCUUUGGAUACUUCUACCCUAAUAUCCAUUACUAAAGUAUUUUAAAUUAUUUAUUUAAUUUUUGUGUGGCUUUUGAUGGUCUAAUCCUAAUUUGUAGAGCAACAUGCAAAUAAUUGGACUAUAAAAGUUACGUGCACAAUUUUUCAUCAAGAAUUUUUUGGCAGCACGCAUUGAAAAUUUGUGUCUCAUUAAGAAUUUGUUAGCACUACGCAUGCAUAUUCUUUUGGGCCUGUCAUCCUGUGUAUUUUCAUUUUCAACAGUAAUUUGUCGGCACUACUAAGCAUCUAUAUCUAUCUUUGUUUUGAAACAGCAAAACUUAUAAAAAAAUCCACUCUUUAGACAAAAACGAACAAAUACCGACAAUUCAAAAACUACAAAAUAAAACGUCAUAUGUAGGCAGAACACAAAAAAAACACCAUAACAUAUCUCACCUCACCAAACAAAAACCUACGUUCAACCGCCAUAAGAAAACAAUCACCAAACCCAACUUCAUCACUCAAACCAAACUCCAUCGCAAACGACCACUGAAAACAAAAUCCAUAAACAUCCAUCGUCCGCUACUCACCCCAAUACCUCCAAAAACCAUCUUAAACAUCAUCAUCUUCUCAUCACCAUAACCUAGCCCAAUUUAACACCCGAAAAGUCCUAUUCCAACUCUCCUUCGGGUUCUACCACCCCUCAUCCCCUGGUCCACCAAAGAAAACAUCAUAAAUAUCCCAAAAUAAACUUGACUCACCGUAUAUUUAUAUCUAUAUCUAUAUCUAUAUCUAUCUAUAUAUCAAUUAAUUCAGGCUCUCAAGUUAUAUCUAUUAAUUUAGGCUCUCAAGUUAACCUCUUCACAACUCACCAUGUUAUAUAUAUCAUAUAGUCUAAUUUUGGCCACAUCAAAUAAAUUCUAAUGUGACAUCUUCCAAAACACACCAUUCCUUAUUCUCUCGUUGCCUUGCUUCAUAAUUUAUGUAUUAUUACAUCUCAUUCCCUUACGAAUUCACAAUUAAAUGACGUUUACUACAUGUCAUAACUCUCAUGUAAUAACGUCAAAUAAGAUGCAUGACCUUAAAUGUCAAAUCAUUAUUAUUAUUAUUAUGAGAGAAGAAGUGAAUGAAUAAUAUUCUCAUUAUUGAUCAAAUGAUAGAGGUUACAACUUAUAUAGUCAUGGUCUAGGAAUACAGUAAUACAAUAGUGGUAACAUCGAAUAUAAAAACUAAGAUAGCUAACUCUACUUGAUAAUAACUCUCAUGUAAUGUCAAAUAAGGUGCAUAACCUUACAUGUCAAAUCAUUAUCAAAUUUAUUACGAAAUUAAUCAAGAACCAAACCUUGAUCCAACAUGGAACUCAAUCAACAAUCAACCCACUUAUUUUGUCGUUAACAUGUUUGUAUGUUUUUUUCUUUUGUUCUCUUUGUAUCAUUUGAUUAUUACUUUAUUGUUUAGAUUCUUUAGAUUGAAUGUGUUUUUUCCUUCAUCUCCUAUGCAAUUAAUAUAUGGACAUGUUUUAAUUCGGUAAUAACGGUGUGCUCAUCAAAUUGGCAAAAUGUUUCCACAUAAAAAAAAAUAAAAAAAUAAAAAAUGUAGCGGUUCAUGUCUAAUAUGAAUCCGGUUAAUAAAAUAAUAUUUUUUUCUCUCCAAUUUUUGCUAAACAUAGGACACCAUUGUUAUUUUUUGCAUGUUAUUUUUUAAGCGACACGUUUUAUAGAUUUUUUUUAGGGAACAUUGUAUGGAAUUUUAGGAAAUGGAUCUCGCCAACUUAAUUUUUUUGUCAGGUUGUCUAGUGGUUCGAGUUCACACAUAUUAGAGAUAUAUAGUUUAGUUACAAGUAGUACUAGUCCUGGUAGUAUAUAUAGUUGUAACCACCUCAUAAGUGGGAUACUUUUCACUCAUUAGUAAUAUUUCAUUUCUAUCAAUACAAAGAGUUUGUUAGAUUUUGCUCCUUCGAUCUAUGGAUGCCAUGUUUCCUAACAACACAUUUUAAAUGUGGUGAAAUAGAGUAUCCGAGUUUAAACCCUAACCCCUACAUAUAUUAUGCGAUGUCCUUAUCAAUUAAGCUAUGUUCACCGGAAUAUUUCUUUCUGUUUUCACAUCUCAACCAUCAUAUAACCUCUCUCUCAAAUUCCAAUAUCAAUGUCAUCUCCUCUUUAUAAUUUAAUGGUCUAGAUUCCCACACUAAUUCUUCAACUUCUUUUUUACCAUGUAUCAUUUUUGUCACAUCACUUAUUUUUCAACAUGCAAGACUUUAUUCCAUUUUGCAUAUCCUACACUCCAUGUUUGUAAUUGCAGACGAUCUAAUUUCUCAUAAAUGAUCUCAACCUAGGAUCAUGGAUAUGGUCAAUAUCAUGGAUACCGCUAGAAAAUUCAUUUGUAGACCACAAAUGAAUUUUCUAACGGUAACCACAAAUGGAUUUAUGGUUAUAUAUAUAUAUAUAUAUAUAUAUAUAUGCGCGCACGCUGGGGGCCAUGAGUGAGAUGAGAACUGAGGGAGAAGGAUCCACAUAUGCAAUGGUUGCUAGUGAAAAUCCUUCCUUAUCUUAGUUUCAAAGGAUUUAUUCCAUUGCAUCUAUAUAGAAAAAGAGAAAAACUAAAAAUGUGUAGUUCUGUUAUUGAUCAAACAAAUAGCUAACUAAAACUAUAUUAACUAUACCCUCUAGAUGCAGACAAAUAGAAUGCUCAUAUACAUAUUCCCACCAAUAUUCUUCACUUCAAAUGAAUAUAACUAAAUGUGUCGGGGUCGUUUAGGUUUCAAAUAUCAACAUGUGUCGGACACUAAACACACAUCAAUUUGAAGUGUCAAUGCUACACACUUUAAAACCUUUGACCUAAGCAAGCUUACCAUGUCUAUUUUACAUUAAAACUGUUUUCCAUGCUAGAGUAAAACAUUUACUUAUGAUUUGUAUUUAAUUAGUUAGUUAUUCCUAACAAAACUAUAAAUCUUGUAGAAUAGAGAAGGAUGUUAGUUUAAACCUGUACACACGGCAAAAUGAUUGUUUUGCCUUAAUUUAUCCUUCACAUGAGAAUGGAAUUCAAGAUACUGUGGAAAAAACCUAACUCACCCAACUGCAAUUAUUCAAAGCUAUAAAAUUCAACUAAUAAAGAUUUAAAUACAUGCCAUAUAACUAUCUAAUUCAAUCCAUUUAAUAUUAGCAAUAACCACUAUUUUAUUUUAAGAAUUCUUGCACAAGAUAUGUUCAAUUCCAUCAUCAUAAACUGAUUACUUAUUAGCAUCAUCUCUUAAAUUCAAUGUAAUACUAAAUUGCAUAAAAAAAAGUCACUUAGGUUUGAUUUUGUUUAAGCAAAACCUCCUUAAUCACUUUUUCCAAAUUCAUGUAUGAACAACCACCAGGUCUCGUGUCCUCCUCCGCCUUCGUCUUCAUCUCAAUUAUCUUUUUCCACAUCUUCUUUCCUUUCUCCCCCUCCAUCAAUUCAUUGACCAAAUUCUCUACCUCAUCUCUCUUCACAUUGGUGUCAAUUUCCAUGCCAAUCUCCCAUGUAUUGCAAAUAUAUCUGCAGUUUGCUGGCUGAUCAGCAAAAAAUGGCCAACACAACAUUGGAACUCCAGCAGAUAUGCUUUCAGUGGUUGAGUUCCAUCCACAAUGAGUCAAGAAUCCACCAAUUGAAGGAUGGUUUAAUACUUGCUCUUGCGGGCACCAGCCCGCGAUUAGGCCUCUAUCUGAAAUUUCAUUGACAAACUCCGAUGACAAAACAACUGAGCCACCGAUGACAAGAUCGGGCCUAAUGAUCCACAAAAAGGGUUGCUUGCUAUUUGCUAAACCCCAUGCAAACUCUAACAGUUUUUCUGCCGUCAUAACUGUCAUGCUCCCAAAAUUCACAUAAACAACGGACCUCGGUUCCUUGGAUUCAAGCCAACCAAGACACUUGUUAUCUUCUUUCCAAAGAUUGGUACUUAAACUUGCCAAGUGAUUAUGUGGACUUUGACUUAAAAGUGAAGAUAAAGGGCCGAUACCACAAAUAUUUGGGAACGUCGAGGAGAGAACAUUCAUUACAUCCUUCUCAAGUUCACUAGAAGUAUUAAAAAUAAAAGCAGACGCUUUGUGAGCCCUUCCUGCUGCUUCAACGAUAAAUUCUACCAUCGAAUCAUUUGUAUCUGUAAUCCUUAUAAAGUCAGGCAGAUCCUUCAGUCGAAAGUUCUGCAAUCCUGGAAUACAAUCCACUUUAGUGUCCAAAUAUCCGUUUGUCAGAUAACUCUCAUCUACAUGUCAAAUUUAUAAAAGUUGUUAGCUGGAAAUAAAAUCUCCAUACUCCUAAUACAUGUCAUUUGAUUUUGAACACUUUAACUAUUCUACAUAUAUGAAGAAAGCAAGAAGAUUAAUUGUUACCUUUUAGUGGUAUGAGACCUUUAUCCAACAAUGUACUAAAAUGAAUAAAAGUCAAAAAUGUACAUGCAUUGGAUGGACUAAAGAAAACAGAAGGGAUUGAAAGUUCUUCAGAAGCUUGUAUGGUAAAAGACAUGCCAAUAUCAGAAACUAUGCAAGUAACUGGAGGGACAAGACCAGAUGUUGCAGAGUCAUUUAGUCUAGCAAGAAGUUCGCGGAAAGGUUGUAGGAAGUUCUUUCUGAUUGAUUUACAAAGAGCGUAAAUGUCUUGACUAACAUCGCCAUCACCAUCCGUUGGAGUUAAACCAUCCGGAAUAGUCUCAAAGCUAAAAUCAGUGAAACCAUCAAAGGCAUUUGGACCUCUUGACUUGAGCAACCGUUUGUGGUUGUAUUCAGUGUUUACAUAGGUUAUGUGAAAUCCUCUAAGGUGAAGAAGUUUUGCUAGUUUCAACAAUGGAUUGAUAUGGCCUUGAACUGGAUAUGGAAUUAACACAGCAUGUGGUUUUUUAUCACUCAUUUUUGAGUUUUUGUGUUUGAAUGUUGAGCUAAGGGAAGCCAAUGGUUUAAUAAAGAUAAAGCCAAUGUUUCUUGGAUUUGUGUAAAAGAAGAUAAGAGACAAAAGUCAAGGAAAGCAAACUCAAAUUCUAAGUAAUAUGUAACACAAUAAUUGAUACAUACUUAUCAAGUCACCACUUUUUGUUAUAGAAGGAAAACAAUUUUUCAUUAAAAAGUUUAUUGAACAAACUUAAGCAUGCCUUUUGGUUUGCGGUGGCGAGAAUUGAUUUGAAUGAAUUUGUUUGAUAAAAUUAGUAUCAGGUUAAAAGUGCGUUGAAUAUAAAAUAAUUUGUGUUUAUAUAAAUUUACGUAAAAUUGAUUUGAACUAUAAAUUGAAGACUAAAAAUCGAUUAUAAAAACAAAAUUUUGAUAUCUUAACUUUAAAUUACGAGCAAUUUGGAGACAAAAUCAAUUCUAUUUAAUUUGAGAACACAUAACCAUAGGGUCUGACUAGGCUUAUCUAAGAUCCCUAAUGUAACCAACUUGCAUCUAAUCAUAACUAACUUAUAACUAUCUUGAAAAAUAUCAAACUAAUUUUAACAAAUCUGAAACUAUAUCUAACACAUACUUGCAUGGAAUUGCAACCAUUCAGUAGAAAGAUAUUAUCAAACAAAAUCUUCAUAUGCUUUAGUCAAAAAAAAGGAAAAUCUUCAUAUGCUUGUGGACCAACUGAUCCAUACGUUUCAGUUUCAAAAUUGAACUAGAUGACACUUUUAUUCAAGUAAGUGUAAGAUAGUUCUGACAUCAAAGAUUUUUGUUGUACAAAGAAAAUAAUCAUGACCACUUAUUUAUUUUAUAAUAGUCUAUUGGCUAUUAUUUUCCAUGCUUGAAUCAGUCAGACAUUGGACAUCACAAAAAAAAAUUGUCCUUUUCAACAAAGGCUCAAGAUUAUCUCCAAAGUCACAAUUGCAUAAAAGCCAAAUUUACUUUUAUUGUGCAGAGAAAAGUGGAUGUAUAUUAUCAACACUGCCUUCCAUAAGGGCUUCGUGUCCUCUAAUUUUUUUUUUUACUAGUCUUUGUUAUGUCCUUUAUCAUGUCUAUGAGGUAUCAACUCAAUGGUAAGAGUUUGAGCUUUUAACCUCAAGGGAAAAAGUACAAUUCCCCUUAAUAACAGUGGUAAAAAUGCUCAUUGUUGUAACUUUAAUUAAUAAACCCUUAUAUUGACUAAUAGGAAUGUUAAAAUAUUUCUUGAAAUCUCAUGUUGAAAGUUUGUUCUUCUUUUCGGUUUGAUUAGUGUUCCCAUGCACUAGGCGCAGUUGUUUGUUGUUUUCAGCUUGUUGUAAUUUGUAGCUUGCGCAAGGCGAAGGAUAUAGCUGACUGAGGCGCAGGUGUGCAUCAAGAUCUAUAGAUAAGCAGGUUUUGCAUCAGUUUUCAGGGUAAAAAAGUGGGAAUUCUAAGGUAACAAAAGAGGGAAUUUGUAGGGUUAAAAGUUCACAUAUAUAGAUAAGAAUUUGUAGGGGACAUUGAUGAUUUCACACAAUUUGCAUUUGCAUCAUCGGUGAAUGUUUUUGAAUGUUCAUAGAGGAAAGAAACUUUGAAUUCAAAUGCUUUCAAAUCAAUCUAUGCAACAAGAAGCUGACAAAGUAGUGCAGAGAAAUUUUAUAAACGAGCUAAAGAAGAAUAUAAAUUUAAUAUUAUUAUGAUUUUGAAGUAUUGUCUUACUUCGAAGUAUGAACAGCAAUGUACCAUACUUAAGAACAUAGCAAGACCUAAAAUACAAAUGAUUUGUUCCUAACAAAACUAUAUAUAUUGUAUAAAAGUAACUUAUGUUUGAUUUUGUUUAAGCAACACCUCCUUAAUCACUUUCUCCAAGUUCAUGUAUGAACAACCUCCAGGUCUCGUGUACACCUCCGCCUUUUUCUUCAGCUCCAUGGCCUUUUGCCUCAUCUUCUUUCCUUUAUCUCAGGACAUCAAUUCAUUGACCAGUUUCUCCACGUCCUCCCUCUUUACAUUUGUAUCAAUUUCGUUUCCAAUCUUCCAUUCAUUGCAAAUAUAUCUUCAGUUUGCUGGCUGAUCUGCAAAAAAUGGCCAACACAACAUUGGAACUCCAGCACAUAUGCUUUCAGUGGUUGAGUUCCAUCCGCAAUGAGUCAAGAAUCCACCGACUGAUGGGUGGUUCAAUACUUUCUCUUGUGGACACCAACUUGCUAUUAGUCCUCUAUCUGAAAUUUCUUUCAAAAAUCAGAUGAGAAAACCACCGAGCCACCAAUGACAAGAUCAGGCCUAAUGAUCCAUAAAAAUGGUUUCUUGCUGUUGGCCAAACCCCAAGCAAACUCUAAGGCUUCUCUUGAGACUUAACAGUGAUGCUGCCAAAAUUUACAUAAACAACAGAUCCUGGUUCUUUUGAUUCAAGCCAUUCAAGACAUUUAGUAUCUUCUUUCCAAAGAUUACAGUCUAAAGAUGUCAAGUGAUUUUGUGGACUUUGAUUUACAAAAGAAGCUAAUGGACCAAUUGUGUAUAGAGAAGGGAACAUAGAAUAGAAAGCAUUCAUAACAUCACUCUCAAGUUCAUUAGAAGUAUUGAAUACCAUACCAGAAGCUCUAAGACAUUUAUCUGCCACUUCAGUGUUAAAUCUUAUCGUCAAGUCAUUAGGAUUUUUUGUCUUUAUUAACCUAGGAAGAUCCUUCAAUCUGAAGUUUUUCAAACCUGGGAUCCAGUCAACUUUCGUGUCCAGAUAUUCAUUUGUUAGAUCACUCUCAUCUGCAUGUCAUAAUUGCAAAAAUCAAUAGCUUAAAGUCAUAUGUAUAAAUAUAUAUCAUGGUUUAAAAUCACAUUAACAAUAAUAAUUUUGCCUGUGCUAUCAUAUUGAUAUUGCAUAUAAUCCCAAUCAAAUCUGGCUGAUGAAACCUCAAUUGUGAUUAUAGAGACAUCGCAACCUUGAUGUUCGGCCCAUAUUGUGACCGCAAAGCUUUUUUAAAAACCAUAACAUACACACAAAAACACACACAGAUCUCCUAAAAAGAAAAAGGGAACAGAAAUGAUUACCUUUGAAUGGUAGUUGACUAUUCUGAUACAUUUUAGGACUGAGCAAACAAGCCAAGAAAUAACAUGCUCUACUUGGGGAAAAAAGAACAACUGGGAGUGCAUGUUCUUCAGCAGCAGCUACUGUAAAUGGCAUGUAGCAAUCAGAAACUAAGCAAGUGACUGGGGGGAUAAGACCAGCAGUGGCAGAGUCUUGAAGUUUAGCAAGAAGUUCAUCAAAGAAGUGGUGAAAGUUCGUUAUGAUUGAUUCACCAAGAGAGUGUAGGUCUUGACUAAUAUCACCAUCACCAUCCUUUGGAGUUAAACCAUCUGGUAUAGUCUCAAAGUUAAAGUCAGUGAAACCAUCAAAGGCAUUUUCACCUCUUGAUUUAGCAAACGUUUGUGAUUGUAUUCAGUGUUAACAAAGGUUUAUGUGAAAGCCUCUUAGGUGAAGCAGUUUUGCUAUUUUCAACAAUGCAUUGAUAUGACCUUGAACUGGAAAUGGAGUUAAUUAACACUGCAUGUGGCCUUUUCUCUUCAAAGUUGGUCAUGUUUGAUAUUUUUCUUAUGUAAGAAAACAGAGAAAAAACUGAGGUGAAAAAUCUAUGAGGCCUCUAUAACAAUGAGUAAGUUUUGUUACAUAUCUAUUAUCUAUUAUAUAGUAUAAAAAAAUUCUUAAGAAUAGAAAAACCAUUUUUUUUUAAUAAUUCAAUUACUGUCUAAUUCAUGUUUAUCUAAUUUUUAGUAUUUUAAUAAUUGAGAAGAUAAUAAUAUUUUUUUUAAUGUUGACGUUCCGAUUUUUAGAGAAAAUGGGUUCUGAUAAUUUGGAGUUCGGUCGUGAGGUAAACAUCACCUUACCAAGAAUUGAGAAGAGAAUAAAAUAAAAUAUAAUAACAUGAAUCUAACUGAAAAAUGAGGAGAUUGAAACUCCGAAAGCAACGUCUGCAUGUUGAAAGGAGACCACUUUCUAUACACACACAAUGGUGUUCAGACGGGUACAGACUUGCCAAUCUAUUUAUUAUGACCAACUAAACAAACAUACGAUUUUUAAACGUUAUCUAUGCGGACAGACUCUGGACCAUUGUUCAAGUCACAUGACUUUUAAACGUUAUCAAUUUGGUGCGCUUUUAAUCGAUUUUGAGGCUAAAAGACAUCCCAAUCGUAAGAUAAAAGAGUAUUUAGUUUGGUUUGGUUCAGUUGAUUUUUAAAAUAAAAUUUAAACCAAACCAAACCAAUAUGAUUUGAGUUGUAUUGGUUGAUGCGGUUUUUUUGAGACAAUACAAUUUUUUGUUUCCAACAUUAAAAUCGAGUUAAAAAGCUAUAACACAACAUAUUUUCAAUAAUGUUUGAAACAAUGUUUUCAAUUUCAUCCAACAUUACAAUUUUAUUUUCACAAAACAAAAUAGACGAAAUUUAAAAUGUGGACAAAAAGUAAUCCUAUUAUUUAAUAAAUGUAAAAGAUUAAGAUUUAUUAUUCUUAAAAUUUUAUUUUAUAAUUUUUUUAAUUUUUGAAAUAGAAAGCAAAGAAGAAACUUAACGUACAAGGGAAAAAAAUAUGCCGUUUUAUAAAAGUUUUUAUUGAGUUUCUAUGAGUAUUGGUGUAGGUGACAUAGGUUUAAUUUGGUUAGGUGACAUAGUUUCUAUGAGUAUGUCGUUUUACAAAAUAGUUUUUUUGCAUUUUUUGGUAUAUAAGAAGAAACAUAAACUAGUAUACAUAUGAUUUUUUGACAAAAUGGAUCCUUCACAUGAUAAUGGAAUUCAAGAUACUGUGAAAGAAUUCUUAUUCACCCAACUUAACAUAUUUAAACUUGUAGGAUUUAUAUUAUAAAGUUAAUAUACAUGCCAUAUAAUUAUCCAAUAUGCAUAUAUUCAAAACACUUAAAAUUAGCAAGAAUCACUAUUUAAGUUCAGGAACUCUUGCUGAAGAUGACUUCACUUACAUCAGAACUUAAAUUCAAUAGGGGAAGAUCAAUUAAUUAUCGUUGAACUGAAUUGCAUAAAAAAGUUACUUAAAUUGAUUUUGUUUAAGCAAAACCUCCUUGAUCACUUUGUCCAAGUUCAUGUAUGAACAACCUCCAGCUCUCGUGUUUUCCUCCACUUUCUUCUUCAACUCAAUUGCCUUUUGCCGCAUCUUCUUUCCUUUCUCUCCUGACAUCAAUUCAUUGACAAGUUUCUCCACCUCUUCUCUCUUUACAUUCGUAUCGAUUUCCAUCCCAAUCUCCCAUUCAUUGUAAAUAAGUCUACAGUUUGUUGGCUGAUCACCAAAGAAUGGCCAACACAACAUUGGAACUCCAGCACAUAUGCUUUCAGUGGUUGAGUUCCAUCCGCAAUGAGUCAAGAAUCCGCCAAUUGAAGGGUGGUUCAAUACUUUCUCCUGUGGACACCAACUUGCAAUUAAGCCUCUAUCUGAAAUUUCAUUCACAAACUCAGAUGACAAAACGACUGAGCCACCAAUGACAAGGUCAGGCCUAAUGAUCCACAAAAAGGGUUUAUUGCAAUUGGCCAACCCCCAAGCAAAUUCCAACAGUUGUUUUGGUGUCAUAACUGUAAUGCUUCCAAAAUUCACAUAAACAACGGAUCCCGGCUCCUUGGAUUCAAGCCAUUCAAGACACUUAGUAUCUUCUUUCCAAAGGUUGGAACCUAAAGAAUCCAAUUGAUGAAUUUGUGGAGUUUGGUUUAAUAAUGAAGGUAAAGGGCCAAUGGGGUAAAGAGAAGGAAACAUAGAGGAGAGAGCAUUUAUUACAUCACUCUAAAGUUCAUGGAAAGUAUUCAAAACAAUUGUAGAGUCUCCAAGAACUUUAUCAGCCGCAUCAAUUACAAAGUCUAACAUAAUAUCAUUUGGAUCUGUUGUCCUGAUACUGUCAAAGAUAUCCUUUAACCGAAAGUUUUUCAAACCUGGAAUCCAAUCUACAUUAGUUUCCAAAUAUCCAUUUGUUAGAUAGCUCUGAUCUGCAUAUCAAAUGUAUCAGUUAAUAUCUUGAAGGUUAUACAUACAUCCGUACAUACAUGAGUAUUUUGUUUUCGACAAAAACAUACAUAUAUAAUAAGGUAUUAUAAAUUGAAUAAAAGUCAUUUAUUGAUGUAUAAAUUUUAAUUUUGAAGUUUUAUGAAAUUUGUGGAGUUCCUCUAUUCAAUAAGAGUUUUUAAUUUGAUGGUUGCUUUAUUGAAAUUUAGUGUCUACAUUGAGUUUUAUAUUAACUGAAACUAUAUCAAGUGUUACUCUUGGAGUAAGUUGAUUAUCUCGCACACGACCAUUUAUAUAGAUUUAAUUCAUAUAUAGAGUCAAAGUAAAAGUUUUUUACACCGUCAAUAAAUCAUAAGUGUCAGAAUAGUGUAGCAAAAUUAAUAUUAAUCUCUCUAUAAAUAUAUACUUUAUGAAGAAAAAAACUUAACUUAGUACCUUUGAGUGGCGUGAGACCUUUUUCUACAAAGGAACGUAAGUGGUGAAUACUCAGUAACAAACUUGCACUGGAUGGAAAGAAGAUAACAAUUGGUAGUGCAAAUUCUUCAGCAGCUUGUAUAGUAAAGCUCAUAAAAUAAUCAGAAACUAAGCAAGUAACUGGUGGAACAUUGGCAGAGUCAUUAAGUCUUGUAAGAAGUUCACAAAAAGGUUUAAGGAAAUUUUUUCUUAUAGAUUGAGCAAGAGAAGGUACAUCUUGACUAACAUCACCAUCACCUUCUAUCGGUGUUAGACCAUCUGGUAUGGUUUCAAAGCAAAAACCACGGGAACCAUCUAAGGCAUUUGGACCUCUUGAUUUUAGCAAUCGUUUAUGAUUGUAUUCAGUGUUGACAAAGGUUAUAUGAAAUCCUCUAAGGUGAAGAAGUUUUGCAAGUUUGAACAAUGGAUUUAUAUGUCCUUGAAAUGGAGCUGGAAUCAACACAGCAUGUGGUUUUCUGUUUGCAAAACUUCCCAUCUUUGAAAUUUUUCUGUUUGUAUGUUAUUUGUGCAAGAUAUGAGGUUGAAAAACAAGUGAUAGGCAUGUGCUUUUAUAGAGAGAAAAAAGGACAAUGCUACAAAAUUGAAAAAUAUAAAGAAAUCCAAACAGAUAAAUUCUGGGAGGUUCUAACAAAAGGAAAUAAGUUCAUUGUAUGAAAAGACAGACACAUAAAAAGACACCAAAAAUGACACUGACACGUUAACGUCAAUGAUAAUUUGAGAAAUAAAUUAAUUCAAUGUAAUUACAAUGUGUCUGACAUAAAAUUGAAAUCUUAUACAGGUAUGUUCUUGUAAACUUUCCUAUAUGACUCAUUAUAUUGAUUGAAUAUGUUUGUUGGUAUUUGGUUUAACCAAUCAAUGUGGCAUUAACAAUUCAACUGUUACUUGUUACUUAGAUGUCGUUUGAGAUUUAUUUGGGAAUUGAUAAAAUAGAAAAGUUGAGAAAAACUUUAUAUUGUGAUCCUAAAAUCACUAAUAUAACCAAAUUGAAUCUAACCAUAUCUAACUAUCUUCCAAAAUAUUAAACUAAUUUUAACAAAUCUGAAACUACAUCUAACACAUACUUGCAUGGAAUUGCAACCAUUCAGUAGAAAGAUAUUAUCAAACAAAAUCUUCAUAUGCUUGUGGACCAACUCUAUACGUUUCAGUUUCAAAAUUGAACUAGAAGGCACUUCUAUUCAAGUAAGUAUAAGAUAGUUCUGACAUCAAAGAUUUUUGUUGUACAAAGAAAAUAAUUAUGUCCACUUAUUUAUUUUAUAAUAGUCUAUUGGCUAUUAUUUUCCAUGCUUGAAUCAGUCAGACAUUAGACAUCACAAAAAAAAUAUUAGUCCCUUUCAACAAGGGCUCAUGAUUAUCUCCAAAAGUUACAAUUGCAUAAAAGUCAAAUUCACUUUUAUUGUGCAGAAUAGUGACUAGUGGAUAUGUUGUCUUCAUUAUCAAUGGUACCUUCCAUAAGGGCUUUGUGUCCUCUAAUUUUUUUACUAGUCUUUAUUUAUGCAUGUAUUAUAAUCCUUUAUCAUGUCUAUGAGAUAUGGGCUCAAUGGUAAAAAUUUCAGCCAGUAAUCUCAAAGGACAAAGUUCAAACUCCCUUGAUAACAGUGGUAAAAUGGUCAUUGUUGUAACUUUAAUUAAUAAUUCUUAUUUUCACUAAUAAGAAUGUUAAAAUAUGUCUUGAAAUCUCAUGUUAAAAGUUUUUUUUCUUUUCGGUUUGAUUAUUGUCCCCAUGCGCUGGGCGAAGCUGUUUGCUGUUUUCAUCAUGUUGCUAUUUUGUUGCUUGGAUGAGGCGAUAUAGCUAAAUGAGUCAUAGGUGUGCGUCAAGAUCUAUAGAUAAGCAAUUUUUGCAUCAGUUUUCAGGGUGAAAAUGUGUGAAUUUUAGGGUUACAAAAGAGGGAAUUUUUAGGGUUAAAAGUUGAGAGCUUUUGGAAAAAUUAUAGGAUUAGGAAACAUUUUUGUACAUCUUGGAAAUAAAGCAUCGAGUCUUUUGUCCAUCGGAAGAGAAUUGGGAAAAUUGUAACCCUUGUAUUUCUUUGUAAGAAACUCUUUGUUAGUGGUAAGCCAGAUUUGGGUCGAACUGGAUAACUUUGUUUUGGUUGUUGCUAAUAUUUCUCCACACUUCAAAGUAUUGAUGUGAGUUUUUACAAAUUCACAACAACUGGAACCCACCGUGGGAGAAAUAAGAGGUAACUUUUUCAAGUGUGCAACAUGGGUACCAACUGGGAUAUCAAUAAAUUUAUCGGAGACAACGAUUUGGGGCUGUGAAAAGUGAAGAUGAAAGAUGUGUUGAUUCAACAAAAGUUUGCAGAAGCACUGAAGGAUGAGGUUGCUCUCCCAGCUACCAUGUUACAAGCAAACAAGACCGAGAUGGUGGACAAGGCCAUGAGUGUCAUUGUCUUGUGCCACACUGAUAAAGGUUUUAGAGAAAUCGUAAAGGAGCAAUUGACGAGUCCUACAAAAUCCUUGAUGAUUUGACAACUAUUAAAGUGGAUAUUGAGGAUGAAGACACGGAUAUACUCUUAUUAUUAUGAGCAUUAGCUAGAUCCUUUGAGAACUUCAAGGAUACUAUGCUUUAUGGUAAAGAAGUCAUUGUCACUUCGAGGAAGUCCAAGAGGCACAUAACCAAGUCCAAGAACUUGAAAGUUGAUGAUAGUGGUGAAGACAUGAGUGUCUAAAGAGGAAGACGUAUAAGUUGAUGAAAUCGAGGAAGCUCAAUUGAUGGUGCAAGUUGAAGUACAAAUACUCCAAGUGUCAAACGACCGGUCACUUCAAUAAGGACAUUCCCAAGUUAGAGGACAUUAAUGAUUCCGCACAAUUUGCAUUUGCAACAUCAGUGAAUGUUUUUGAAUGUUCACGGAAAGAACCUUUAAUUUCAAAUCAAUCUAUGCAACAAGAAGCUGAUAGUGUAGUGCAGAGAAGUAUGCUUUUGAAGUAUGAUUUCCAAGACAUCCUUAAUCACUUUGUCCAAGUUCAUGUAUGAAGAAUCACCAGGUCUUGUGUCCUUCUCUGCCUUCUUCUUCUUCAACUCCACGGCCUUUUGCCUCAUCUUUUUUCCUUUCUGUCCCACCAUUAAUUCAUUCAUCAGCUUCUCCACCUCCUCUCUCUUCACAUUUGUAUCAAUUUCGAUUCCGAUCUCCAACUUAUUACAAAUAUAUCUGCAGUAUGUUGGCUGCUCAGAAAAAAAAGGCCAACAUAACAUUGGUACUCUGGCACAAAUGCUUUCCAAUGUGGAGUUCCAUCCACAAUGAGUCAAGAAUCGUCCAACUGAAGGGUGGUUCAACACUUGCUCUUGCGGACACCAGCUUGCUAUUUGGCCUCUAUCCGAAGUUCCAUUCACAAACUCGGAUGACAAAAUAACUGAGCCACCAAUGACAAGCUAAGGCCUAAUGAUCCACAAAAAAGGUUUCUUGCUGUUGGCAAAACCUCAAGAGAACUCUAACUGCUCUGGAGUCAUAACCAUAGUGCUUCCAAAAUUCACAUAAACUACAGAACCUUGUUCCUUAGAUUCAAGACAUUUCAUAUCUUCUUUCCAAAGAUUGGAACCUAAAGAAGCCAAGUGCUUUUGGGGAUUUUGAUUCAAAAACGAAGAUAAAGGGCCAAUGGCGUAAAUAGAAGGGAUCUUAAUAGAUAGAGCCUUUACUACAUCACUCUCAAGUUCAUUAUAAGUAUUGAAAACAAUAGCGUUAGCUUCAUGAACCAUAUCGUCCGCUUCAAUGAUAAAAUUUAUCAUUAGGAUCAGUAGUUCUUAUAAAAUCAAGCAGGUCCUUUAGUCUAAUGUUUCGCAAACCUGGAAUCCAGUCAACUUUAGUGACCAAAUAUCCAUUUGUCAGAUAACUCAUCUGCAUAUUAUAAUCACAAAAUCCAUUAGCUUAAAGUUAAAACUCUGAACCCCUAAUAUAUAUCAUAUUAAUUCUAAUACUACAUUCUAUGUUGUAUACAUACUCUCAGUUUCUCCAAAGGAAGAACUUCCAUAGUAAAACUAAACUAUAGUAAUGAAACUCUUCACUUCUGCAUAAUAGUCCUACACUAUCGAUAAAGAAAGAACAUAAAUGAUUACCUUUGAGGGGUAUGACACCUUUAUCAAUAAAUGUACGAAAGAGCAAAGCACACAAAAGUGAGGAUGCACUAGCAGGAAUAAUUCAAUAUCAGAAACUAAGCAACUAACAGGAGGAAUAAGAUCAUCAUUGGAAGAAUCUUUUAAGUUUAGCAAGAAGUUCACAAAAAGGGUGAUAGAAAUUCUUUCUUAUUGAAUCAUCAAGAGAGACAAUUUCUUGACUAAUAUCACCAUAACCUUCUGUCGGAGUUAAACCAUCUGGAAUAGUCUCAAAGGUAAAAUCAGUGAAACCAUCAAAGGCUUUUGGACCUCUUGAUUUGAGCAAAUGUUUGUGAUUUCGGUGUUGACAAAGGUUAUGUGAAAGCCUCUAAGGUGAAGAAGUUUUGCUAGUUUCAAUAAUGGAUUGAUAUGGCCUUGAAGUGGAUAUGGAGUUAUGCUUACUGAUAUGAGUGAGAAGCAUAAGAAAAUCAUAAAUAUAUUUGACUUUAAUAGGUCCCCCAAAUCAUUGGAAUAUAAAAGUUAGGUGCACAAUUUUUCAUCAAGAAUUUGUUUGCAGCACGCAUUGGAAGUUUGUUUAUUUUUAUUCUCAUUAAGAAUUUGUUGGCACUGCACAUGCAUAUACAAUUGUUUCUUGGUUGAAAAAUAAUAUAUUUUUCAUGGUUUAUACUAUUUCAAUUCUUUUCUUGUUGAUAGUUGAAAUGGCAAGAAUCGUUGAAAACUCGCACACAUAAGUGGAGAAGUUUGGAUUCGAAACCCCAGUUACGGAGUUGGCCUAACAAUUUUGUUCUUUAUUGUCUAUUAAGCUAGAACUUGUCGACAUUUAUUUCCUGUUUUUUAUCAGACCAUACAUGUGAAUUUGAAUUGCAUGCAAGCACAAUUUCCACGCGAUCAGAAUUAAUUCAAUCAACAGCUCGGAGUCAUUUCAUCAAAUAUUCGACGUCUCUUAUUGUAGGAUAUGUGAAUCCAUUUUAAAAGCAAACUUAAAAUUGGAGUCGUCCAAUGUUAAUCUAAUAUCUCCGAGCUGCGCUGGCUGAACAAGUGCCUAAAAUUGUGAUUGUAGACAAAGGUUGCUAGUAAAAAUACUUCCUUAUCUUAGUUUUAAACGAUUCAUUAUAUUGCAUCUAAAUAGAAAAUAGAGAAAAACAUAAAAUUUAUAGUUCUGUUAUUGAUGAAAUGAUUUCCUAAAAGAAAAAAGCUUUGAAACUAUAACCUCUACGUACCGAGAAAUAGAAUGCUCAUAUACAUAUUCCCACCAAUAUUUUUCACUUCAAAUGAAUGUAACUAAAUGUAUCGGGGUCGUUUAGGUGUCAAAUAUCAACAUGUGAAGUGUCAAUGCUACACACUUUAAAACCUUCAACCUAAGUAAGCUUACCAUGUCUAUUUUAUUUUAAAACUGAUUUCUAUUUUAGAGUAAAAUAUUUACUUAUGACUUGUAUUUAAUUAGUUAAUCCUGAUAAAACUAUAAAUCUUGUAUAGAACGAUAGAACGAUAUUAAUUUAAACCUGUACACACAGAAAAAUGAUUGGUUUGCCUUAAUUUAUCCUAUACAUGAUAAUGGAAUUCAACAUAGUGUGCAAAAGCCUUACCUACCCCAUAUAAUUAUCCAAUUCAAUACAUUUAAUAUUAGCAAGAAGCACUAUUUUAGUUUAAGAAUUCUUGCACAAGAUAUGUUCGAUACAGUCAUCAUGAACUCAUUACUUAUUCACUACAAUAGCCUCAUCCCUUAAAUUCAAUAGCAGAAGAUCAAUGGAUCAAUAUAAUACUACAUUGCAUUAAAAACGUCACUUAGGUGUGAUUUUAUUUAAGCAAAACCUCCUUAAUCACUUUUUCCAAGUUCAUGUAUGAACAACCACCAGGUCUCGUGUCCUCCUCCGCCUUCUUCUUCAUCUCCAUUAUAUUUUUCCUCAUCUUCUUUCCUUUAUCUCCCACCAUCAAUUCAUUGACCAAAUUCUCCACCUCAUUUCUCUUCACAUUAGUAUCGAUUUCGAUUCCAAUCUCCCAUGUAUUGCAGAUAUAUCUACAGUUUGCUGGCUGAUCAGCAAAAAAUGGCUAACACAACAUUGGAACUCCAGUAGAUAUGCUUUCGGUCGUUGAGUUCCAUCCACAGUGAGUCAAGAAACCACCAAUUGAAGGAUGGUUCAAUACUUUCUCUUGCGAGCACCAACCAGCAAUUAGGCCUCUAUCUGAAAUUUCAUUCACAAACUCCGAUGACAAAACAACUGAGCCACCAAUGACAAGAUCGGGCCUAAUGAUCCACAAAAAGAGUUGCUUGCUAUUUGCUAAACCCCAUGCAAACUCUAACAGUUUUUCUGAAGUCAUAACUGUCCUGCUCCCAAAAUUCACAUAAACAACGGACCUCGGUUCCUUUGAUUCAAGCCAAUCAAGACACUUGUUAUCUUCUUUCCAAAGAUUGGUACUUAAACUUGCCAAGUGAUUCUGUGGACUUUGACUUAAAAGUGAAGAUAAAGGGCCAAUAGCAUAAACAUUAGGGAACGUCGAAGAGAUAACUUUCAUUACAUCCUUCUCAAGUUCAUUAGAAGUAUUAAAAAUAAAAGCAGAGGCUCUGUGAGCCCUUCCUGCUGCUUCAAUGAUAAAUUCUACCAUCGAAUCAUUUGGAUCAGUAAUCUGUAUAAAGGCAGGCAAAUCCCUCAGUCGAAAGUUCUUCAGUCCUGGCAUACAGUCCACUUUAGUGUCCAAAUAUCCGUUUGUCAGAUAACUCUCAUCUGCAUAUCAAAUUUACAAAAGUUGUUAGUGUGAAAUUGAAUCUCCAUACUCCAAAUAUAUGUCAUAUGAACACUUUAACUACUCUACACAUAUGAAGAAAGAAAGAAGAUUAAUUGUUACCUUUUAGUGGUAUGAGACCUUUAUCUAGAAAUGUACGUAAAUGAAUACCAGUCAGAAAUGUACAUGCAUUGGAUGGACUAAAGACAACAUUAGGGAUUGAAAGUUCUUCAGCAGCUUGUAUAGUAAAGGACAUGCUAAUAUCAGAAACUAUGCAACUAACUGGACGGACAAGACCAGAUGUUGCAGAGUCAUUAAGUCUAGCAAGAAGUUCGCGGAAAGGUUGUAGAAAAUUCUUCCUGAUUGAUUUACAAAGAGCGUAAAUGUCUUGACUAACAUCGCCAUCGCCAUCCGUUGGAGAUAAACCAUCUGGAAUACUCUCAAAGUUAAAAUUGGUGAAACCAUCAAAGGCAUUUUGACCUCUUGACUUGAGCAACCGUUUGUGAUUGUAUUCAGUGUUUACAUAGGUUAUGUGAAAACCUCUAAGGUGAAGAAAUUUUGCUAGUUGCAACAAUGGAUUGAUAUGGCCUUGAACUGGAUAUGGGAUUAACACAGCAUGUGGUUUUUUAUCACUCAUUAUUGAGUUUUUGUGUUUGAAUGUUGAGCUAAGGAAACCAAUGUUUUAAUAAAGAUAAAUCCAAUGUUUCUUGGAUUUGUGGAAAAGAAGAUAGAGACAAAAGACAAGGAAAGCAAAAUCAAAUUUAAAGGGUGAGAUCUUUUUCUUAUAAUAUGAAAUAAUUCUAAGUGACACAAUAAUUGAUGCAUACUAGUCAAGUCACCACUUUUUGUUACGUGAGAGAAGGAAAACAAUUUUUCAUUAAAAAGUUUAUAGCACAAACUUAAGAAUGCCUUUAGUAUGCGGUGGUCAGAAUUGAUUUAAAUAAAUUUGUUUGUUAAAAUUAGUUUUUGUUAAAAAGGGCGUUGGAUAUAAAAUUAUUUAUACUUAUAUAUAUUUACGUAAAUUUGAGUUGAGCAAAAAAUUAAAGACUUAAAAUCAAAGACUAAAAAUUGAAGACUUAUCUAACUUAAAUACUAUUAGUUAGACAUCGUUUGGGAUUUAUUUUGGAAUUGAUAGAAUAAUAAAGUUGAGAAACACUGUAUAUUGUGAUCCUAAGAUCACUAAUAUAACCAACCUUGCAUCUAAUCAUAACUAACUUUUUUUUAUAAGCAAUAAUCAUAACUAACUUAUAACUAUCUUAAACAAUACUAAACUAAUUUCAACAAAUAUGAAACUAUAUCUAACACAUACUUGCAUGGAAUUGCAACCAUUCAGUAGAAAGAUAUUAUCAAACAAAAUCUUCAUAUGCUUGUGGACCAACUCUAUACGUUUCAGUUUCAAAAUUGAACUAGAAGACACUUCUAUUCAAGUAUAAGAUAUAUAGUUCUGACAUCAAAGAUUUUUGUUGUACAAAGAAAAUAAUUAUGACCACUUAUUUAUUUUAUAAUAGUCUAUUGGCUAUUAUUUUCCAUGCUUGAAUCAGUCAGACAUUGGACAUCACAAAAAUAUUUGUCCCUUUCAACAAGAGCUCAAGAUUAUCUACAAAGUCUCAAUUCCAUAAAAGCCAAAUUCAUUUUUAUAUGUUGUCCCUUUACACAUGAAUUAUAAUCCUUUAUCACGCUACAACGUAUCAGCUCAAUGGUAAGAGUUUGAGCUUGUAAUCUCAAAGGACAAAGUUUAAAUUCCCUUAAUAACAAUGGUAAAAUGCUCAUUGUUGUAACUUUAAUUAAUAAACACUUAUUUUGACUAAUAGGAAUGUUAAAAUAUGUCUUGAAAUCUCAUGUUGAAAGUUUUUUUACUUUACUAUUGCCCCCAUGCGCUAGGCGCAGUUGUUUGUUGUUUUUAGCAUGUUUCUAUUUUGUAGCUUGCAUGAGGCGAAGGGUAUAGCUGAUUUAGCAGGUGUGCGUCAUGAUCUAUAUUAGUUAGGGGACAUUGAUGAUUCCACACAAUUGGCAUUUGCAAACAUCAAUGAAUGUUUUUGAAUGUUUAAAUAAGAAAGAACCUUUGAAUUCAAAUGCUUUCAAAUCAAUCUAUGCAACCAGAAGCUGACAAUGUAGUGCAGAGAAAUUUUAUAAAAGAUCAAAAGAAGAAUAUAAAUAUAAUAUUAAUAUGAUUUUCAACUAUUGUCUUACUUUGAUUCAGGUGAAUUCAAUCAAUCAAAAUUUGAAGGGGAAAAAUAAAGGUAUGUGAUCUUUAUUUAUGAAGAAUGAACUUGAUGAACAAGAAUGCAUCAUUACAAUGUUUCUGACUAAAUUGUUGAUGUUCAUACUUAAGAACAUAGGAAGACCUAAAAUAUGAAUUAUUUGUUCCUAACAAAACUAUAUAUAUUGUAUAAAAGUGACUUAAGCUUGAUUUUGUUUAAGCAACACCUCCUUAAUCACUUUCUCCAAGUUUGUGUAUGAACAACCUCCAGGUCUCGUGUCCACCUCCACCUUCUUCUUCAGCUCAAUGGCUUUUUGCCUCAUCUUCUUUCCUUUAUCUCCGGACAUCAAUUCAUUGACCAGUUUCUCCACCUCCUCCCUCUUUACAUUAGUAUCGAUUUCCUUUCCAAUCUCCCAUUCAUUGCAAAUAUAUCUGCAGUUUGCUGGCUGAUCCGAAAAAAAUGGCCAACAUAACAUUGGAACUCCAGCACAUAUGCUUUCAGUGGUUGAGUUCCAUCCGCAAUGAGUCAAGAAUCCACCGACUGAAAGGUGGUUCAAUACUUUCUCUUGUGGACACCAACUUGCUAUUAGUCCUCUAUCUGAAAUUUCUUUCAAAAAAUCAGAUGAGAAAACCACCGAGCCACCAAUGACAAGAUCAGGCCUAAUGAUCCACAAAAAGGGUUUUUUGCUGUUGGCCAAACCCCAAGCAAACUCUACGAGCUUCUCUCGAGACAUAACAGUGAUGCUGCCAAAAUUUACAUAAACAACAGAUCUUGGUUCUUUUGAUUCAAUCCAUUCAAGACAUUUAGUAUCUUCUUUCCAAAGAUUAGAGUCUAAAGAUGUCAAGUCAUUUUGUGGACUUUGAUUUACAAAAGAAGCUAAUGGACCAAUUGUGUAUAGAGAAGGGAACAUAGAAUAGAAAGCAUUCAUAACAUCACUCUCAAGUUCAUUAGAAGUAUUGAAUACCAUACCAGAAGCUCUAUGACAUUUAUCUGCCACUUCAGUAUUAAAUCUUAUCGUCAAGUCAUUAGGAUUUUUUGUCUUUAUUAACCUAGGAAGAUCCUUCAAUCUGAAGUUUUUCAAACCUGGGAUCCAGUCAAUUUUUGUGUCCAAAUAUUCAUUUGUUAGAUCACUCUCAUCUGCAUGUCAUAAUUGCAAAAAUCAAUAGCAAGUCAUAUGUAUAAAUAUAUAUAUCAAGGUUUAAAAUCACAUUUGCAAUAAUAAUUUUGGUUGUGUUAUCCUACUGAUAUUGCAUAUAAUCCCAAUCAAAUGUGGUUGAUGCAACCUCAAUUGCGAUUAUAGAGAUAUCGCAACCUUGAUGUUCGGCCCAUAUUGUGACCGCAAACCUUUUUUAAAAACCAUAACAUACACACACAGAUCUCUUAAGAAGAAAAAGGGAACAAAAAUGAUUACCUUUGAAUGGUACUUGACUAUUCAGAUACAUUUUAGGACUGAGCAAACAAGACAAGAAAUAACAUGCACUACAUGGGGAAAAAAGAACAAUUGGGAGGGCAUGUUCUUCAGCAGCAUCUACUGUAAAUGGCAUGUAGCAAUCAGAAACUAAGCAAGUGACUGGGGGGAUAAGACCAGCAGUGGCAGAGUCUUGAAGUUUAGCAAGAAGUUCAUCAAAGAAGUGGCGAAAGUUCGUUAUGAUUGAUUCACCAAGAGAGUGUAGGUCUUGACUUACAUCACCAUUACCAUCCUUUGGAGUUAAACCAUCUGGUAUAGUCUCAAAGUUAAAGUCAGUGAAACCAUCAAAGGCAUUUUCACCUCUUGAUUUGAGCAAACGUUUGUGAUUGUAUUCAGUGUUAACAAAGGUUAUGUGAAAGCCUCUAAGGUGAAGCAGUUUUGCUAUUUUCAACAAUGCAUUGAUAUGGCCUUGAACUGGAAAUGGAGUUAACACUGCAUGUGGCUUUUUCUCUUCAAAGUUACUCAUGAUUGAUAUUUUUCUUAUGUAAGAAAACUAAGAAAAAACUGAGGUGAAAAAUCUAUGAGGCCUCUAUAUAUAACAAUGAGUGAAUUUUGUUACGUAUCUAUUAUCUAUUGUAUAAUAUAAAAAAAUUCUUAAGAAUGGAAAAAACCAUUUUUCUUUUUGAAUAAUUCAAUUACUGUCUAAUUCAUUUUUAUCUAAUUUUUAGUAAAUUGAAAAUCGGAUUUUCUAAUUAAGAUAAUCCAUAUUUGAUAAUUUUUUCUAUACAUCAAACUUUCUUUAUAAACUCUUCCCCUUAAAUAUAUUAAGAGAAGGCCAUAUUUGACAAUAUAUCUUCUAAACCAAUAAAAAUCAAAUUGCAAAUUCUAUGGUACAGCCAAUAUAUUUGAAUGUACCGGUACACUUACUCUUUAAAUUAAUGGUUAAAUGAGUUGUUUUUUGAAGAAAAAUAUUAUUUUCUAUCCUUUAUAUUUAUAAUAACUAAAUCUUAUUCAUCAAAAGUGUUAACGAAAUAAAAUUAAUUUUUUUUGAAUUUUUAGCACUCAUAGUUGAGAAUAUUGAUUAUAUUUUACGAUAAUAUGCAAAAAAAUUACUAUAAUUCUUAUAAAUAAUGAACUGAUGUUUUUUCUUAUGAAAUGAUGUUCUAUAAAAUAUAAAUAUUGAUAAAUAGUUAUUUAUUUCACAAAAAAUAAUCGUUAAUUUAUAAAAUUAUGAAAAAAGAGUACCGGUACACCUCAUUUUGUGAGUCUACAAUAGAAGUUCCCCAAAUCAAAUACAGUCAAAAUAUACUUUAAGUAAAAAAAAUAAAAAUCAAAUAUACUUAAUACAAUAAAAAUCCAAUUUGGACUUGACAAAGAAAAAAAUCCAACAUGUGCAACAAAUUGACGUGGUGAACGAAAGCAACGUCUGCAUGUUGAAAGGAGACCACUUUCUGUGGUGGGGACUGAUUUUAUAUACAGACAAUGGUGUUCAGACGGGAACAGACUUGCCAGUCUAUUCUUUUAAUAGUGUUAAUUAAGGGUGUUUUGGUGCAUUUUUAAUCGAUUUUGAGGUUAAAAGUUAUCCAAAUCGUAAAAUAAAAGAGCAUCAUGUUUGAUUUAAUUGACUUUUAAAAUAAAACUUGAACCAAAUCAAUAUGGGUUGAAUUAUAUUGGUUCGUGUGGUUUUUUCGAGACUAUAAUUUUUUAUUUUUAACAUUAAAAUCGAGUUAAAAACUUAUAACACAACAUAUUUCCAAUAAUGUUUCCGACAAUGUUUUCAAUUUCAUCCAACAUGACAAUUUUAUUUUCACCAAAUAAUAAUAUAGACGAAAUUUAAAAUGUGGACAAAAAGUAAUCCUAUUAAAGAAAUGUAAAAUACUAAGAUUUAUCAUUCUAUAAAAUUUUAUUUUAUAAAAGUUUCCAUUUUUGAAAUAAAAAGUAAAGAAGAAAAUUAACAAGAGAAAAUAAUAUGUCGUUUUAUAAAAGUUUUCAUUGAAUUUCUAUGAGUAUUGGUCUACCUGAAUUAGGUUUAAUUAGCGUUUUUCUUAUGUUGCGGUUUAGUUUGGUUAAUAAAAUAAAAACUGCAAACCGAACCAAACCUUGCGGUUAAGUAAAAAAGUGAUCCGAAUUCAUCCAAACCAAAUGCAUUUUUUGCGGUUUUAGUUUGAGUUGGUUCGGUUUGCAGUUUUUCUACUGGAUUGGUCAGUUUUGAACACCACUAUUUUUUUUGUCUAGUAGCCUAGUGUCUGGAGCUCACACAAUUAAAUUUGAAGAAGUGGGGUAUCUGGGGUUCAAACCCCGACCCUGUAUAAAUUGUGCAAUGUUCUUAUCAAUUGAGCUAAGCUCACGGGGACGUUUCGAACACCUCUAGUGCUAAUGCAUAUAAAUUAUGAAUAUUUAGUAGUUUUUAUGAAAUUUUAAUUUUGAUUAAAAUUAUAGAUAUAGAUAUUUUGUUCUUUAUAUUCUAACAAAUUAUACUUAUUUUUUUUAAAUAACACUAACAAUAUAGCAAAUAUAAUAUAAAUUCUUAUCUUUUUAUUUAUAUUUUUAUUUUUAUAAGCCUUAUUUCAUAAGCCGUUUUCAGCAAAUUUUCAAAAAUGUUUUCAAAAUCAUUUAUGAAAACAUCUUAUAUAUGAAAACAAUUUAACAUAAAUUUAUCUUUUGCUGUAGAAAUAGUUUAUGCAUAAGUGCUCAUCAUAAUUAAUAAGAACUUGCGCUAUAAAUUAUUUAUCCAAACAUGGCCUCUAUUCAUUACUAUUCAACUUAUGAAGCGUGUAAGAAUUAUACUCCCCGAUGUCCAAAAAGGAACUGAAAGGUGAGCAUUUCUUAAUUCAUUGAUUUAGAAUUAUUAAGUUAUGUUUACAAUUUUUCAUGGUUCAUAUUUUUUUUCAGUUUUCAGUAGGACGCCUAUCUUACUUUUUAAUGAUUUAUUCUAUUGAAUUUAUAGAGAAAAGGAGGGAAACUGAAAAGUUAUAAAUCUGUUAUUGAUCAAAUGACUCCCUAAAACUAGUUCUGCAGUAUACCAAUCUUAUAUAUCAUUAAAAGCUUACUAGGGUUUUUUAUACAAGAAAAUGUUAAUGCUUAGUAUAUUAUGUAAGUAACCUGAAUUGGAAUCUUAGACCUCAUGUUAAGCAGUGGUUUAGAGUUUUUUUUUAUAUAAGAAAAUGUUAAUUGUAGUGAGUUAUGUUAGUAACCAGACUUGUUAGUUAUUGAUUUGAAUUCUGUUACAACUCAGACACUUAAGCUACCCCUUGAGGAUAAAAUUAUGCAAGAGUUACUUACAACAAAUAACUGUAGUAACCAUCGAUUUCAGAACUGGAUCCGCUGAUUGAACCAGGAAUCGGCCAGUCUAUACCGGUUGUUCAACCAUGGUCGGUUAUAAGUCUGUCAGAACCUCAUUCAACCAUGGUUUAUUCAACCGAAUCAUUGUUUUUUCGAAUGUUCAUACAUAUUUCGGGAAAUAUUCUUUAAUUCCUGGAUAUGAAAGACAACCAAAAUCUCAUAUUAGUUUUAUUCAUGGUCCUAUGUUAAAACCUGUUCUAUAAAGUAGCUGAUCUUAUGUACGCCUGAUAUAUUUGAAGUUUGAUCCUUCUGUUUGCAUAGGCUGUUCUUUGAUGAUAUUGAAAAUGAAUAGUAUAAUUGCAUAGUAGUACUCAACAUAAGUGAAUGUCUUUUAUUGUUAUAGGAUAGAACCUUUCAAAUCAAUCUCCGAAGCAAGAAGCUUACAAGCAAUGAGAAGUUUAUGAAUAUAAUAUUAAUGUGAUCUUUAGUUACGAAGAAUGAACUUGAUGAAGUUGAAUGCAUUGUUACGAUGUUCCUGACUAAAAUGUUGAUAUCCACACUUAAGAACAUAGGUAGACAUAAAAUGCAAAUUAUUUGGUCCGAACAAAACUAUAAAAAUCGUACAAAAGUCACUUAAGUUCGAUUUUGUUUGAGUAACACCUCCUUAAUCACUUUCUCCAAGUUCAUGUAUGAACAGCCUCCAGGUCUCGUGUCCUCCUCCACCUUCUUCUUCAACUCAAUUGCCUUUUGCCUCAUCUUCUUUGCUUUCUCUCCCACCAUCAAUUCAUUAACCAGCUUCUCCACCUCCUCUCUCUUCACAUUAGUGUCGAUUUCAAUUCCAAUUUUCCAUGUAUUGCAUAAAUAUCUGCAGCUUACUGGGUGAUCAGCGAAAAAUGGCCAACACAACAUUGGAACUCCAGCAGAUAUGCUUUCAGUGAUUGAGUUCCAUCCGCAAUGAGUCAAGAAUCCACCAAUUGAAGGGUGGUUCAGUACUUGCUCUUGCGGACACCAGCUCGUUAUUAGGCCUCUAUCUGAAAUUUCAUUCACAAACUCCGAUGACAAAACAGCUGAGCCGCCGAUGACAAGAUCGGGCCUAAUGAUCCACAAAAAGGGUUGCUUGCUAUUUGCUAAACCCCAUGCAAACUCUAACAGUUUUUCUGCAGUCAUAACUGUCAAGCUCCCAAAAUUCACAUAAACAACAGACCUAGGUUCCUUGGAUUCAAGCCAAUAAAGACACUUGGUAUCUUCUUUCCAAAAAUUGGUGCUUAAAGAUGUCAAAUGGUUUUCUGGACUUUGAUUUAAAAACGAAGAUAAAGGGCCAAUAGCAUGAAUACAAGGGAACACAGUGGAGAGAGCAUUCAUUACAUCCUUCUCAAGUUCAUUAGAAGUGUUUAAAAUAUAAGCAGAGGGUCGGUGAGCCCUUCCAGACGCUUCAAGGAUAAAUUCUACCAUGGAAUCAUUUGGAUAUUUUGCUCUUACAAAGUCCGGAAGAUCCUUGAUUCGGAAGUUUUUCAUGUUGGAAAUUUAGGUCUUAAUAUAAACAGAUUUCAUAAUACAUGUUCAACAACUAUGAAUCAAUAGCGGAAGCAAACAAAACAUUGAACAUGAUUAUGAUCGGAUCUACGACAUGUUUGAUUUACCAAGGAUAUUAAGAAUUAGGGUAUUAGGAAUACCUGGAUAAAGCUUUUGUAACAACCCUCUCAUCAACAACGAUAACCAAAGAGAGGAGAUGAUCUGAAACACGCAAUAGAGUUAGCGGCGGCUGAUUUGGUUCUUCCUCAACCGGUACCUUUAUGCCUCAAGUUCUCUUCAGAUGGGGAGAAGAGAGAGUAUUGCCGUGUACGGUGUAUUGGGGACCAUAGCCUCUUUUAUAUUGGAUGGCCAUUAGGGUUUCCCAUUAUUCCAUUAAUGGGUCAUCCGGACAUCCACUCAUGUUGAGUCCAUAUCAACUAAUUAAAUAAUUAAUUAUCCAAAAUAGAAAUCUAAUUAGCCUUAUUACUUAAUUUGAUCACUAAUCAAUUAAGGCUCACAAUUGAUAAAUAGCUAAUAUAAUUAUUAUUACGAUAUUUGCCCACAUAAUGAUAUUGGAAUAUUAUUAAUUAAUAAAAUAUUCCAACAUUUCAGUCCUGGAAUACAAUCUACUUUAGUGUCCAAAUAUCCGUUUGUGAGAUAACUGUCAUCUGUACAUCAAAUUACAAAAUCUGUUAACUUGAAAUGUCAUAUUAAUACUUUAACUACACUACAUCUAUGAAGAAAGAAAGAAGAUUAAUUGAUUGUUACCUUUUAGUGGUAUGACACCUUUGUCAAACAGUGUAGGUAAGUGAAAACAAGUCAAAAACAUACAUGCACUGGCUGGACUAAAGAAAACAACAGGGAUUGAAAGUUCUUCAGCAGCUUGUAUUGUAAAAUACAUGCUAUUAUCAGAAACUAUGCAAGUAACUGGAGGGACAAGACCAGAAGUGGCAGAGUCAUUAAGUCUAGCAAGAAGUUCACAAAAAGGUUGUAGGAAGUUCUUUCUGAUUGAUUCACAUAGAGCAUAUAUGUCUUGAUUAACAUCACUAUCGCCUUCUAUCGGAGUUAAACCAUCUGGAAUAGUCUCAAAGGUAAAAUCGGUGAAACCAUCAAACGCUUUUGGACCUCUUGAUUUGAGCAAGCGUUUGUGAUUGUAUUCGGUGUUGACAAAGGUUAUGUGAAAGCCUCUAAGGUGAAGAAGCUUUGCUAGUGUUAUUAAUGGAGUGAUAUGUCCUUGAAGUGGAUAUGGAAUCAACACUGCAUGUGGCUUUUUAUCAGAAAAAUGACUCAUUUCUGAGUUUUCU
This 74384-nucleotide long non-coding RNA is filed under the name Medicago truncatula (barrel medic). RNAcentral describes it as "long non-coding RNA (MTRU_LNC003834)". The stretch from base 36237 to 36404 matches the Rfam family "MIR2680 microRNA precursor family". Lineage: Eukaryota; Viridiplantae; Streptophyta; Magnoliopsida; Fabales; Fabaceae. The record is from RNAcentral.